RNAcentral lists this long non-coding RNA (74490 nucleotides) under Malus domestica (apple). RNAcentral describes it as "long non-coding RNA (MDOM_LNC017884)". Lineage: Eukaryota; Viridiplantae; Streptophyta; Magnoliopsida; Rosales; Rosaceae. The record is from RNAcentral.
UCUGCCGCGUCCCCUCUCUCUCCUUGUAAGAUAAAUUGGCCACAACAUCAUUAAGAAUUAGAUUUGGUUACUAGUUUAUUAUUUCCCUACUAGGAUUGUAUUUACUUGGAUGACAAGUAAUUUUUCUCAUCCUUACUACUAUAAAUAAAGGCACGGGAAAUAACAACAUCUCAAUUCUAAUACACACAUAGAAAUCCCUACACUUUCUCCACUCCCUCCUUGUCGUGCUCUCUCUCCCUUGUCAGAUAAAUUGACCACAACAAAUUUAUGACUUUUGACAAGCAUUAUUCAAUUUUUACUUUGUUGAAGAGGUCACAAAAAUGAAAAAAAAAAGGAAGCAUUAUAUUAAUAUUUUUUAUUCCAAGUGAUAUUACCAUGCUUUAUGUAUAAGAAUUAUGCUCAUGAGCUUUUUUUUUUUUUUUUUUUGAACAAAAUACUUCAUGAGUUUGAUACUUAGAGCACCUCCAAAAAGAGGUGUCAAAAAUUUAACAUAAAAUUUAAAUUUGACAGCCUAUGUGGUAUUUUGACAUUUUUUAAAGUUUUACUCUCAACCCGAUAUGUCAAAUUAAAUUAUUAUUUUAUUAUAUUAAAAAAUAAAUGAUUAAACCAAUAAAAAAUUAAUUAAAGAAAUUUAAUACUUACUAAAUCAAGACCGUUCAUCAAAUGAACCAAAGAGGCAUGAAUGCACGGGUCAACACCAGCAUUCAUUAUAAUAAUGAUUAAACAAAUAAAAAAGAUUAAUAAUUAAUUUUGAAGCUAUUAUCAAAUUUGACAACAACCUUUUUACUGCCAAUUCAGAUCAUCGCCACAUAGGAGUUGAUAUUUCGGUUGGAGAAUAUUAGUGUGAUCUUUUUUUUUACUAUUAUAGCAUAUGUGAAUAUCUUGACAUCUUCUUUGGAGAUGCUCUUACAACACUAUUGCUAUACUAAUUUAGUAUAUUAAUAUAACAUUAAAAUAUUAUAUUAGAGAUGCAAAUUUGUUGGAUAAAUAAAUAAAAUGCAAGAAGCCCUUUACCAUAGUGGUGGAAAGAUGUUAAGUCUUUGUAUGAGGAUGUGGGUUCAAAUCUCAUCGAUAGCUAAUCUAACAAAAUUUAUCGUUUGAAAAAAUAAAUAAAUUGUUGCAGUCCUAUUAGAUUAGGAAUGUGAUUGUGUAAAUCCUAACAUAUCUAGGAUAUCCUUAUGGGAUUUUACCAUCUCUUAUACUAUAUAUUAUCCUAUUAGAGUUGUAAUCCUAUUAGGGUAAGAAAUUAACCUUCCCUACUACUAUAAAUAAAGGCACAAUGGGGUGGAAUAGAGCACAUAUUACAAUUACACAUCUCUCUCUUCUCUCUCUAUGCCGCACCCCUUCUCUCUUUCUGAUCUCCAUAAUUGUUUAGUAAAUUAUGCCUACAACACGCUAUUAACAUGUUGUGCUAAAGAGAGUUUGAUUUUCAAUCAGGGAGUAUUACGUUUUAAUCAUUAUUUUUAUGAUUAUUUAUUAUUUUAUUAAAUUGAUCUACAUGCUAUUGAUUCAAUUUAAAUUUUCUAUGUUGAACAUGAUACAACACAUUAGAGAUGCAGUUCCAACUUUUAGAGAAGGAUCUUCUACAAAUUCACAAAUUCAAAAGCUCAGUUGUUUUUUGCCAAUCAAGUUUUUUUAAAAUAAAUUAAGAUAUUUGAAACGACCGUGAAGCAUGAAAACAUUUCCCAUGAUGCAUAAACUCUCUACAUUUAUAUUUUCCUUCCGAUCUAUAUAUUGUAUAUGUUCAUAUAUUUGUCAAUAUAUAUAUACACACACACACACGUUCAUGCAUUACACAAUUAUAAAAUUGCUAUGAGGAAUUUGUGAGUCAAAGAAAGAAAGAAAAUAGAAGCAUGAUUUUUUUAAUUAUUUUUGGGUUCUGAAAACCCUAAUACUAAAAAUCUGGAAAAAAAAAAGAAAAAAAAAAGAAAAGAAAAGGGAAAACUUGGUUGAGUCGCGACUUGCAGUCGCGAUGCCAAGCCGAGUCGGUUGCUAGAGCCACGCACUCGCGCCGAGUUGCAAAACCGAGCCGCGCCAAGUAGCCAAGCUGUGAGCAACUACCCAACCCAACCCGAGGUCACAAAAAACGACGGCGUUCUCCCGUCGUCCCCUCAAUCGAACUAGACCGCCACCAUUGACAACUUGAAGUCGUAUUGUUUGGUGAGAACCAUCGUCCUUGACGACAACCUAGGUUAUCCCAGUCAAGAAUCUUAUCAGAAUUCUUGAGAUUCCAUAUGAAUCUCUGAGUUAUUGACCUCCUUGAUGUUGAGAAUUGUUCUCCGUCGAGAUUUUUUAGGAUUCUAGACGAACUCUGGCUUAUCUUCCAGUUUGAAACCACGAUGAUUAUGGUGGCGUCGUCGAGCUUCUCCGGCAACUCCCACACCCAGCUUCGAUGGGCCUUUUCUAAUGACACCCAAGCCCUUUUUCCGGGCUUGCUGCUCAUUUGGCCCAAAGCCCAACUGGGCUUAUUUUUCUCUUUUUCUUUGGCCCACUUACCUGCAGCUGGGCUGCUCAUUUUCUUGGCCCAUGACACUGCAGCAUGCUACUUGUUUUUGCAGGUUAGCUUGCAGCUGUUGGGCUUUGCAAAUUGGACAGCAGCCAGUAAUCCAAUGCUAGGCUGCUUUUUGUUCUCGAUGUAAAGCCAUAUUUGGCUUGAUUUUUUUAUUCCAGCUUGCACCCAUAUGUUUUUUUAUGCUUGAUUUCAUGGCCUUAACCACUUUUUUGGGCUUUUCUUUUGAAUGGCCCACAAAUCUAGCCCAAAAUAUGGCCUGAAACUUUAUAUUAUUUUGCUUCUACGAUCAACCCCAAAUGAUCUAGAUCUAUUGAAUUAAUUAAAAGUGACCAGCAGUCCAUUAAUCAGAUGUGACAUCCAAAAUUAUUGGCCUAGAGCCCACUUUUGGACAUUAACGAUUCAAUAUUUUAUUUCUUUUCUUUGAACCGCUGACUCCCUUUCGUAGUCCUGAAGCACUCACACUUGAGUUCCUGAAGCAACCCAAAUUCAUUACACUUAGUUGUAUAUUGUAUUAUGUGUUCUUACAAGUACCUUCUUAUGAACCAGAAGAUUCAUAACUAAACUCGAACCUGUAGUUUCGAAUUUAGUGCCUUGGAAACCCGAAGCUUUCAUAAAACACUACACCCAUGAAAACCCAACGUUUUUCAUGUACACCAUGUCUUAGAACUUGAAAUGUUCUAACUUUGAUGCUUAUGGAUAUCUUACUUCCAUAGUACCUAUCACAAUAUUGUUCCCUCAAUUUAGUGGAUUGUCGAACCGUAACAAGUUUGAUUUCACUUAUUUGGAUAUUUCUUAACAAAACCACUUUAUGUGAAUACAAGAAGUGAAUCUCCACUUGAGUAUCAAGAAGCUGAGAAACCAUUGUAGCCAACAAUGGCAUGGAAAAGCUGAAUAAGCCUUCGCCAUGCUCUUCAUUCGAAGACUUAUGCUAAAGCAUUACAAACAGAAGUACCUCACGAACGAGGAUUCCAUGGCUCUUUGGCUCGCUACUAUGGACCGUCUGAUCAUGUGAGAUAUUGCCUGAAGCACACCAUGAUUACGUCCAUCAAAUUUUGACUAGAGAAUACUUUUCUCGUGUUUUCUUGUUUCUAACUCGCUCCUGAGGCAGCAGUGUAGAAAAUGGAAGUUUACCAAAUUCUAUGAUUUGAUUACUACCACAAACGUGAGAGAAAGGUAUAGACCCAGCUUCGACUGAAGUAUACCGAAUGGUAUAGACCCAGCUCGGCUUAAGUCUAUCGAAUGGCUCGACCUAGUUUGGUCAAGGCCUACCGAAUGAUGAUUCCCAGUUUCAGUUGGGGCCCAUCGAACAGUAGUGCUCUACUUUGGCAAAGGCCUACUGAACAGACCCCUCCAGCUUUGGCCGAAGCCUAUUGAACCCAAGUUAGGGUUUGUCUCUUUCACAAUCCAAUUUUGAGUUUGUUUUUACGGUAGAAUCAGGGUCUGCUAAGGUAUGGCAUCAUGCCCGAAGCGUGAUACUUGGCACCUAAGACCUAAAACUUCAAGAAUAAAGGAUAAUAUUCCCAAACCUCAACCCUGCAGAAUCUACUUCCAUCUUGAUGGAAUAGAUCAUUUGUUUUGCAUCUGUUCGUGCCUCUACCAAUGUCGUUGAGGAGUACCAUUCUCGUAGUCAAUAUGUGAAACUAAUUUUGCUCCACCGAACGUCGUUGGAAGAGCAUAAUUUUGACAUAGACGUGGCCGAAUCCCCUUAGUAAACCAUUUACUUUGUGAACAUUUUUCCAUGUUCUUGGAUUCAAGUUUGGUGUUUGUUUUAAUUAUGGAUAAUAUUAUCGAUAUUGUCCUCGAAUAUGAGUUAAUUGAAUCAUGUUUCUUGUAUACAUGUGACCAAAUUCAAUUAAACAUGUGAUUAGGUACAAAUGUGGGAAAGUUAGUUGUCUUGAUAAAUGUGAUACUACCCACACUAACUUUACACCAAACUCACAUCUCUAGCAACGACUUCAAGUUUAUCCAACCUGAUUAAGAGCAUCGGCACGCUCCUCGUUGUAUGAAUGGUACUAAAUUACCAUUUAAGAUACCUUAAGGAUAUUCGAGAUGACAAUGAUCAUGAACGAAACCAUUGAAGAAAAUAUAGUGGAAUAUCUUUGCACUACCUUAAAAAAUGAACCUGAUGCUCUGAUUUGGGGCCACUAGGCUGUCUCUCAACUAUGAACAUGCCACAUGUGGCCGGCUUGGAGCCAAGUGACUGAGCAGUUUAUUUGCUUUGGUACGACCAUUUGGGACACUUAGGUUGAACAAUGAUGCCACGACUCAUCUUGUUACCCGAAGUAAGGAUCUUGUGCCUACAAGCACACUUUUCCAAGCCUACUCAUUGGGAAAAUUGAUUUUCUAAAUCAUCCCUUGCAAAGAUACGAAAUCACCCUUUUUCACAGUGGAUUCAAGGGAAUAUAUGUGGACUAAUCCAACCAAAAUGUGGACCAUAUAAAUACUUACAUUAUGUUUGGAUGAGGGAAAUAAACUUGGAAUUUGGAUAAAAGUCAGAAUUUAUAAAUUGAUAUCCACUAAUUCUCUUGUUUGUAUUUAUAACAUAGAAAUUUAGAAUUUCCGCGUGGAAAAAAAACUUGGAAUUUGGGGCCUCCAAUUUGCAAGUUUAAAUUCCAUGUAAAUAGGUGUCAUUUCCCAAUUUCUAUGAUUGAGAGUUUAAAAUUAACAAAUUCCGUUUUCAAUUCCAAUGUUCUUUUAAGUUAACCAAACAACAAAAUUCACAAAUUCUAGAAAAUAAAAUCCCUUCAUUUCAAUUUCCGUCAUUUUAAAAUUCUUUAGUAAUCUUAAAUUUCUUCAUCCAAACAUAGUGUUAUGAUUUUGGUUGAUGAAUCGACAAACUGGUCACAUGUUUGUCUACACAUUGCUGCUAAACCUCUUGGCUGAUUUUAAAGGGUUCACCACUCUAAUUAUCCUAUAAAGUCUGGAAGACUGGAUAAUGCCGGAAAGUUUAUAUCGAAGAUGCUUCGAUAAGUAUUGUAUGUCUUUUGGGUUUAUAAUUGAACAUCAAAUUCCCAUGGUCACCCCAAAAUAGCCUCGCAGAUAGAUCAUAAAGCGCAAUUUAAUUGAUUGCUCGGACCUUGGUGAAUGCACCAAGCUUUCGUUUUCUGCUGAGGGCAAUGCAAUCUUGUACGCAGCUAUGAUCUGCCUUGAGGUCCAUUGCCACCCAACCUAUUCAACGUUACAGUUGGUUACUGGGUACAAGCUUAACGUUUCAUACUUAUGCAUUUAGGUGUGCAUUCCAUGUGCCAUGUUGUGCCGCUGCAACGUACCAAUAUGGGUCAUCACAGAAGGUUGUGAAUCUUUGUCGAUUAUGAUUCUCCUUCAUAAUAGCUCUUUUAGAACCUUUGCAAGCGAUCUUUUACCGCUCAUUUAUGGAUUGUCACUUUAAUAAGACAGUCUUCCAGCCGUUAGGGGGAGAUAAGAACGUCAACGUUCCUAUAGAACGACGCGAAUUUACGUGGAUUAGUGACAAUGUAAAACUGAUUGGACAACCGAAAUUACAAUGCAGGUUAAAAUUCCUUACCAAAGUGUGUUUGGACCUAUCGUUCCUACACUGCCCAAGGUAACCCUAUUGUGUUACAAGUGGGAAAGGAAGCGUAAUGAGAUGAAUGAAAUAGUGCGAUGUAAUGCACACCUUAUGGCGUAAGGGUUCUCUCAAACGCCAUGUGAUUGAUUACAGCAUUAUGAAUAUGGUUAAUGUUUCUCCAUGGGGAUAUUGAUACGGAGAUUUACAUGUAAGUUCCUGAAGAAUUACAUGGACUGGUUCAAAUAGUUCUAAACCACGGAACACCAUCUCAACUCGUUUGAGGCAUUCACUUACUGAUUGAAGAAAUCUGGCGGAUGUGGUAUACCCGUCUAAGUGAUUAUUUGAUCAGUUAGGGAUAUGAAUUAUGCCCUUGUGUGUUAAACUAUGAAAUCUUAUUCCGAAUUUCUAGAGUUACAGUUUAUGUUCAUGACAUGCAUCUCACUAAGACUUUAGAAGAGCUUGAGAAAACUGCCUCGCAUCUAAAGACAAAAUUUUAGAUGAAAGAUCUUGGGAAAACUCGUUUAUACCUUGACCUGAGUUUAAAACGUUGUUCUGACGGUAUUUUGGUCUACCAAUAGAACUACACCCCGAAGGUGUUACGAUUGAGAAUACCUAUUAUCUUCCAUACGCUAUAUGCAAAUGAGACCCUUGAAGAGGUUAUGAAACCCGAAAUUCCAUAUAUGAGUUAUGUUUAUACCAUACUUAACCAAUCCCGAAACUACUGAGCACCGGUCAAUGUUAUACCAUCAAGGACCCAAAAGAGUUUCCCUCCAACCAGGAGGCCACAGCGCGACACGUGUCGACAUCAGAAGCCAAUCAUAGCGCAACACAUGUCAACAUCAGAAGCCAAUCACAACACGACACGUGUUAAUGUCAGAAUGAAACUAGAAACUCUCUUCUAUAAAUAUAGAUCAUUCUCUCACAAUAUUUCCUAAUGUCAUUUGUACUAACUCAUUCACUAGUACUCACAAAAGGAGAGCUUGAACCUAUGUACUUGUGUAAACCCUUCACAAUUAAUGAGAACUCCUCUACUCCGUGGACGUAGCCAAUCUGGGUGAACCACGUACAUCUUGUGUUUGCUUCCCAGUCUCUAUCCAUUUACAUACUUAUCCACGCUAGUGACCGGAGCAAUCUAGCGAAGGUUACAAACUUAACACUUUCUGUUGUACCAAAGUCCUCACUGAUUUUAUGCAUCAACAUUUGGCGCCGUUUAUGGGAACGACACUUAUUCCCACUCUCUUCAGCUUUGCCAAGCUGGUUUCCACUAUUCGUACACUUUCUUUUGACCAGGCAUCCCUCUCCAACAUGGGGAGCAAAGGAAGCCAUAGCACACAGAAUGACACCCCUCUUGCACCUAGUGCGAAGCAAUGAAAGAAUGAAGGAAAUAGGGUUGCCUCUUCAAGCUAAAGUCAAUAAGCUAGAAGCUCACAACAACAAGAUAGCAAUGAAGAAUGAGGUCCUCCAGGAGCAGUAUGAGAAGCUCUUUGAGACGCUUCACGAAACUAGGCGUGCUCAAACACGGGAGCUUGUUGCCUCUGUGGACAUCAACCAUCAUCUGGGUGCCCCCCAACACGAAGGGUCACCUCCAUUCGACAUGGGUAUCCCUGAUGAGCAGCGAGCUAAUCAUCAAAACAUUGAUCAACAUGAGACUUCUUUCAACCCAGAUGCUUCAACCUAAAGCAAAAGAAGUGGAGGAAGAUACCUCAUUACAGAAGGGUUGGAAGGAUCAAAAGCCGUUUAUCGUGACUGCUGAGACUUCCUAAAGCAAUGUCGAGAGAAUCCCCUCCACAAAUGCUCGAAUAUCAAUGACCCAAGGGUUUCUGAAAGACUCGGUCCCUUCUCACGACCCAGGCCAUCUGCCAAUCUAGGGAAGGAACGACAGGUCCUAGAGGAACAUGAAGGUACAUGAGACUCUGAGGUAUUCUAACAGACUCGCCCUAGAAGUCAGUACGACGAGUCCAAGAAAAAACCACACGCCCUUGCUCAAACUUUCCUACUUCCAAGAGGUGAUGGAGACUUACGAAAGAAAAUUCCAGUGGUACAUGACUCCACUCAGGACCCCCAUGUCCUACAUCUCCUUGAGGAAGUAAACAAGUUGAAGGCCGAACGUCAGGCCGAGAUACCUGACUGGAACUAACCCAGGCCUGGCCUUCUCACAAGAAGGAUUCUCGACACCCCAUUUCAAUCGAAGACAAAACAAAAGCUUGAUUUACUACUCUAUACUGGAAGGGAGGACCUAAUUGAACACUUUAACCUCUUUGAGUCCACCAUGGUGUAUCGGAUGCAUAUCGAUGAAGAGCAAUGUCUUCUCUUCCCCUCCACCCUCUCUGGCGGAGCUCUAAACUGGUAUUACCGUCUUCCACCUGAGACAGUAGACUCAUUUAAGGAACUAAGGAAACUGUUUGUCUCUCAACAUAUCUUCCAGACCGAUCGCUUGCAUUCUGCAGAUAACUUGUACACUGCCGGACGAGUCACCACGAGAGUAUGCCUGUCACUUCAGCCAUGAGUAUUCUUGCUGCGCUGAGGCAGAUGACAAAACCGCCCUCAAGGCCUUCAUGGCAGGCCUAUGUGAUUGUUUCUUCAAGUACAUGAUCAAUGUCAACACUUGGAAGACUGACUCUGAGGUGAUGGCACAUGCUUACAACCACACCUCCGCCGAAGCAAGGACAUACUAAGAGAACCCCCAUAUGGUUAACCCCUAUCAACAAGUGGGAAAUGGAAAUCAAGUUCUACCAAGUGAGGAGAUAUUAGCCAUUUAGACACCCAUUGCAUCGUUUCAUGCCUUAUUUAGCUACUCGCUAAGCCACCAAACGUAUCUGUCUCUUGGUAAGAGGAAGGAUUUUUACUCUCAGCAAGCCCAUUACAACAAGAGGGAUAAAAGUUCGUAUAAAGACAACCAGGGGUGAACGUACCGUCGACUAUUAUGACUAUGGGGCCAAGCCUCACUCUUUCAAAGUGGGGGACUAGGUACUGAAGGAAAUGCUAUUAUAAGAAGGCAUACACAUUACAAAUGUUUUGACUCUUAACCGCUUGAGAUCUUUUGUCACACAAACCAUUCGGCAAAUAUUUAAAGAAGAGGGAAUUCAGACAACUUCUUCUGAGUCUUUUGCGUUCGUAGCACUGGAACACUUGGUCUACGCUGACCUACCCUUAUACUCAAACUCAGAGCUUCAACAUGCAUACUUUGACACAAAGUAUGUGAUACUAAGUGUUACAACCAACAUGGUUUACAUAUCAAAAGAAUGGAUCCCUUCAUGCAUAGCAAAACAUUCAUAAGCAUCACUCAUAUCAAUCAACAUAAACAUCAUACAUUCUAACACAUUCAUACAUAAACAUCAUACAUUCUAACACAUCUAUACAUAAGCCAACUGUGCUUCGAAAAGGUUCAACAUACUUUGUGUCAUUUAACACUUGCUACAAUGUGCCUAGACACCUUGCCCUUAUUCUCACAAACCAGGUGAUGAAAUGUGAAGAAUGAACUCAUCUUCAUUCCACCAACUAGGUGAUGAAAUGUACAACCCGCACUUUCCUUCAUGCCACCAACCAGGUGAUGAAAUGUACAACCCAUAUUCUAAUAUCAUUUGGCAACUUGCCAUUCAUGCCACCAACCAGGUGAUGAAAUGUAUAACCCACACUCUAAUAUCAUUUGGCAACUUGCCAUUCAUGCCACCAACCAGGUGAUGAAAUAUAUAACCCGUACUUUCCUUCAUGCCACCAACUAGGUGAUGAAAUGUACAACCCGUACUCUAAUAUCAUUUGGCAACUUGCCAUUCAUGCCACCAACCAGGUGAAGAAGGAACUCAUCCUCAUGCCACCAACCAGGUGAUGAAAUGUGAUGAAAGGUGAUGAAGGAACUCACCUUCGUACCACCAACCACGUGAUGAAAGUAACUCACCAUUCAUUCCAUCUACCAGAAGACGAGUGGUACAACUUGUACAUGUGAACUCUUAGCAUUCAAAAAUAAUCAAAAACCCUCAAGCUUGACAACUCAACUAGGUCUUAUUGCAAGAGUUAUAGUCACCAACAAGAGUUAUAGUUACCAACAAAGUUUUAUUGCAAGCCAACAACAACUUCAGUGCAUGGCAUAUGAAGAUCAAGCUAUUCAGCCAUCUUGCAUCUGUUUCAGACAUUUCCCCUCUGUAACAAUGCAAACACUACAACUCGUAGAAAGCUUCACACACUCUUGAUCAAGACAAUGUGAAGCAAAACCAAUUUAUAAUGCCAACAAGAGCUUUAUCAAAGGAGUUCAACCACAAUUCUCAAAAGCUUCAUAGACUCUUGAUCAAGACAGUGUGAAACAAAACCAAUUUAUGGUGCCAACAAAAACUUCAUCAAUGGAGGGCAACUACAAUUCUCAAACCUUCGAAGCAAAUUCAAUUUAUAUGGUUCAUCAAAACCUUCGACUACUACAAGGUGUGGCUUGCAUCACAAUCUCUUACUCAACAGUGUGGAAGCAAAAUUUGUAUAUGUUGUCUCUCCCACAUUUUCAAAUUUCUAGUUUCCCAAAAAAAAAAAACAAAAAAAGGGAAAUUCAACAAAGCUUCAUCAAUGGAGGACAACUACAAAUUCUCAAAAGCUUCACACUAUCUUGAUCAAGAUAGUGUGAAGCAAAAAUCAAUUCGUGGUACCCAACAAAGCUUCACCACAAAAGCUUCACCAACAAAAGCUUUAUUUAUACCAUAUCUAGGGCCUCAUAUUUAGACCUCGUAUAAAUACUCAAGGGACUUAAAUGUAAUUAUGUAAUAAAGGAAGGGGCAAAUAUGUAAUUAGGGGAGGAGCCCUUAUUCUAUAAAAGGGCCUCCUCACCCUCACAAACCCUAAGUCUCUCCUAUCUAGAGCAAAGCUCUCACACUUUCUCCCUUACUUCUAAGAGAAAUAUAAUACAAUCAGUAUGGACGUAGCCCAAACCUUGGGGUGAACUACGAUACAUCUUGUGUUAUUUACAUUUUAUGCAGAUUCACAGUCGGAUUUAUGUUGUUCUAAGACCUCCGGUUUUGUGCAUCAACAUUUGGCGCCGUCUGUGGGAAACGACACGAAAAGCUAUGUCGGUUCUCUCUCAUUUUCUCACCUCCGCCGUGGAUCUGCAAAAUCUGCAAAAAAACCCAAGAAAACCAAACACCACACCAAUAUUCUAAUUUGUCCUCCUCACUGCCAGUGCUUUUCCACUUACUUUCCGAUCCACCUUCUCUUGCUUAGAUUGAACUCCAUCAGACUGUUAUUCGAUUUCCCAACUGAAUCACAAACGCCAAUGAUCUAUAUGAAGAGAGUGAGAGAGUAAGAAAGAGACUAUGUCGUCGCAGAAGCAACGACGGAGCUUCCCGUCGAUCGCGGCCUAUAACGUGGGUGAAACGGCGUCGUACGAGUCGAUCGCCGCCGACCUAGAUAGGACGCUGCUCAUCUCCCGGAGCUCCUUCCCUUACUUUAUGUGGGUGGCUAUCGAAGCCGGAAGCCUCAUCCGCUGCCUUAUCCUCCUUCUUUCCCUCCUGCUAGUCAUCGUCUCUUACUUCUUCUUCUCUGAAGCCGUCGGCAUCCAGAUCCUCAUCUUCAUCUUCUUCUCCGGCCUCAAAUCUCCCUCUUCGGACCCUUAUGGGCUCUCUAACAGUACCACUGAAGUGAAGGUGCUUGCUCAUUGGAUAAGAAGCUACAUGCCUCCUCACUGCUAAAGAAAUUAUACUCUUCUACCUUCACCAAAGGCUGGUAGCUCUUCUAGAACGGAAAGUAAUUCAUCGACGAUGACGACGGUGAGGAGGACAAGGAGCAGUUGAAUUUGAGAGAAGUGGAAGCCGGGGACUUGAUGAGUUAAUGGUUUGGAGGAUGCUAGAUGAAGACAUAGUCAAGUUUGGACUGUUAUCUUCGUUCAAGAUCGCACUCGAGCCACUGUCCGAAGAGCCAUCUUUGAAAUUUGGGAACAAUGAGACGGCUUUUAGUACUCCAUUUGUGUUGUUGAAGCUCUCAAAGUUGAGCCUUUUACACGUUUCUGGAACAGAGGAUCCCUAAAAAAGGUACAAUGCUACAGUGCAAUCCCACACAAUGCAAACUUUCUUCCCAGUCCAAAUCAAACCCCAACAGUCUGCACAUCGAAAACCAAUCCAAAAUUGGGCUCCGAUCUAGAAAUGGAUUCAGAGUUGUCAAACGACCCGGGCGGAAGGGCUAGGCGGAAGAAGGAAACCCUAGGCGUUGACUGCGAUUGGGACCGAGGGCUCAGGCUCCUGACUUUGCACAAUGGCGAGGUCAGCAAUGGUCAUGCAAUCAGGGUUUUCCGGCGGAGCCGCCCCUUGGCGGGCCCGUCCAAGAAGGCCUCCAACGGCAAGAGUUUAGAGGAUCAUGUAAGGGAUUGGGUUAGCACAAGAGUGGAAUUGGGCAUUCCUGAAUCCCGGUGCUCGUUGCCGUUUCUUUACGGCGUAAAGAAAUUGGUUGAAUGUCUUAUUUUCCAUAAAUUUGCCUACCCCAGGGAAGUGGUCUCAUGCUCUGUUCGUGGUUGUCAAGAAGUCUAUCACAGGAAAUAUGUGAAGGAUAGGUUUGGGAUCUUUUUGAAAAAAUUCAAGUGUCAGCAACAUGUGGAAUCAUUCCCUUUUACAGCUGGAGUACACCAGCUUGUGUUGAAACAAAGGAAAAAAGAGGAAGCAUAUAUACCAAAGCUGCUUAUAUCAGUGCAUAUCUUGUCAGCAAGGUUGAAAGAAAUAUUCUCGAGGAUGACCCAAGAAACCCAGCUGUGAUAACUGAUAAUUGCCUGCACACUUCAUCAACCAAUACGGAAGCGUUGUCUGCCAUCUGCCAAAAAGGGAAAAGAGAAAGCAAAAGCAAGGAAUAAACACCCCACCAGAAUGAUGUGAUUUACUUUCCUUGGCAGAUGUAUGAUGUAAUUUAUUUUUCUUACAUUUCGAAGACAUCUGCAAAAACCCCAUCAGAGGGUAAUUAAAAAAAAAACGGGAAAGCCCAAAAUAAAUGGGCUGGAAUGUUAUGUAGAAGGUGAAGGCCCAUAAGCCCAAAAUAGCUCUAACCAGGCGAUCAAAAGUACGCCCAGUACUCCACAAUUAUUCGGCAACCUACCGCUAUUACCACCAACCAGGUAAUCAAAAGUACACCCAGUACUCCAAAAUUAUUAGGCAACCCGCCGCUAUUACCACCAACCAGGUGAUGAAAUGUAUAACCCGUACUCUAAUAUCAUUUGGCAACUAGCCAUUCAUGCCACCAACCAGAUGAUGAAAGGUACAACCCGUACUCUCCUUCAUGCCAUCAACCAAGUGAUCAAAAGUACGCCCAGUACUCCAAAUUAUACAUGAGCACUACUCAUGUCAUUCAUACAUAAACAUUCAUGAGCAUCACUUAUGACAAUCAUACAUAAACAUUCAUGACCAUCAUUCAUGUCAAUAUUCAUGAGCAUCACUCAUGUUAACAUUCAUGAGCAUCACUCAUGACAACAUCCAUGAGCAUCACUCAUGUCAAUCAAACAUUCAUGAGCAUCACUCAUGUCAAUCAGCUUCAAAAGCUUCAUUUACAAAAGUUCUAGCUUCAAAAGCUUCAUUUACAGAGCUAUAUCUUUAAAAGCUUCAUUUACAAAAGCCCUAGCUUCAAAAGAUUCAUUUACAGAGCUCCAGCUUCAAAGCUUCACUUACAAAGCUUCAGUGCAGGGUAUACAAAUACAGCAUCCGAACAACCGCCACUUCGGCCUAUACAUGGAUUCAAUUUGAAGUCUCCAGCUAACAGACUCUAUUGAUCGAAGACUUGGGGGACUACAUUAUGUACCAUAUAUUGAGCCUGUACCAUAUAUUGGGCCUCAACUGGGCCUCAUGAAAAAUACUUGAGGGACUUAGCCCAUUAUUUAUGUAUUAAGGAGCGAGCCCUUAUUCUAUAAAAGGGACUCCCUCACUUUCAUUAGAGAGCACCCAUUAUUCAUGUACUGAGGAGCGAGCCUUUAUUUUAUAAAAGGGACUCCCUCACCAUCAUUAGAGAGCAAUGCCGCCAGCUGAGCAACCACCUCGCUGCGAUCAUCACUCCUAACCCAUCAUUUAUGUAUUGAUAAGCAAGCCUUUAUUCUAUAAAAGGGACUCCCUCACCACCAUUAGAGAGCAUCACCGCCUACUAAGCAACCGCCUCGCCGCGAGCAUCAACUCUAGCCCAUCAUUUAUGUAUUGAGGAACGAGCCCUUAUUCUAUAAAAGGGACUCCCUCACCGUCAUUAGAGAGCAUUAACUCUAGCCCAUCAUUCAUGUAUUGAGGAGCGAGCCCUUAUUUUAUAAAAGGGACUCCCUCACCUUCAAACGCCACAAGCCAAGCUAACCCAGGCAACAUAAGCCACAAGCCGAGCAGUCUCGCAGCGUGUGCUACUUCUAGUUGAGCGUCAUUUCAGAUUGAGCACUGCCUCAUAUCGAGCAUCAGUUCAAGACAACAUCUAGUUACUUCGACCCACUCAUGGACUGAAUUUCAAGUCUCCAGCCAAAAGACUCUCUUGACUGAAGACUUGGGGGACUACUGUUUAUACCAUAUCUAGGGCCUCGUAUUUAGACCUCGUAUAAAUACUCGAGGGACUUACAUGUAAUUAUGGAAUAAAGGAAAGGGCAAAUAUGUAAUUAGGGGAGGAGCCCUUAUUCUAUAAAAGGGCAUCUUCACCCUCACAAACCCUGAGCCUCUCAUAUCUAGAGCAAAGCUCUCACACUCUCUCCCUCACUUCUUAGAGAAAUACAAUACAAUUAGUGUGGACGUAGCCCAAACCUUGGGGUGAACCACGAUACAUCUUGUGUUAUUUACAUUUCAUGCAGAUUCACGGUUGGAUUUACAUUGUUCCAAGACCUCCGGUUUUGUGCAUUAACAAGCUUCAUCAAUGGAGGACAACUACAAAUUCUCAAAAGCUUCACACUAUCUUGAUCAAGAUAGUGUGAAGCAAAAUUAAUUCAUGGUACCCAACAAAAGCUUCAACUCCAAAGCUUCACCUACAAAGCUUCAACUCCAAAGCUUCACCUACAAAAACUUCACCCACAAUAGCUUCACCUACAAAAGCUUCACCCAUAAAAGCUUCACCAACAAAAGCUUCACCCACCACAAAAGCUUCACCCACAAAAACUUCACCUACAAAAGCUUCACCUACAAAGCUUCAACACAAAAGCUUCACCUACAAAAGCUUCACACUAUCUUGAUCAAGAUAGUAUGAAGCAAAAUCAAUUCAUGGUACCCAACAAAGCUUCAACCUCAAAGCUUCACCUACAAAGCUUCACCUAUAAAGCUUAAUAUAUAUAUAUAUAUAUAUAUAUAUAUAUAUAUUCGGAAAUUUGAAGAUUCGAAAAUUCAGAAAUUCCAAAAUUACAAAAUUCAAAAAAAAAAAAAAAAAAUUGCUAGGCCUCAUUUUCUUUGGGCCUAACAACUUUCAUAACAAAUAUAUAUGAAUGAGGAGUUUUAAGCUACCACGUAGAAAGGAAAAUGGUGAAGUUUUGUUACUUUGGAAACUUGGCUACUAGCAAGACACCUCAUUCGUCAACUCCCUCGACCGGAGACUUGGGGACUCUUACCAUAUGCUACUACACCUUGAUACUCAGAAGUCUCACGACCACUCAGUGACUUGGAUUUUUCAAGUCUCCAACCGAGAAGUUUUCCUCACUCAGGAAAUUAAGGGAGCACUACCUCAAUCUACAUGCUCCACUCACAAAGCUUCAACAUACAAGUUUCAACAAAAGGAAAAAUUCAAAGAACUUAGUGAAGAAGGCCUUGGUGUAUUUAACACAAUACGUUGAAAUGAACCAAAACAUGUUUAUUGAUAUCUCCGAUAAGUUAUAAAUAUGUACAUAUACAUGAAUCAAAAUAAACAAACAAGAGGGAGCCUUCACAAAGGUUGCUCAGGAGAAGUCUCAGCAGUCGGCAGAGCCCCAGAAAGAGGAGGCACCAGAGGGUGAUUAUUUGGAGCCUCAGUACUAGGCAGAACCCUAGAAGGAGGAGGCAUCGAAGGUUGAUCAUUUCGAGCUUCAUUACGCGGUACAGCCCUAGAAGGCGAAGGCAAUAAAUGUCUUUGGAACAAACCCACAAACCUCUGAUGAUCAAGUAAAAUCUGACCAUCAGAUUCCUGCAGCUGGUCGAGCUUCCUCUCCAUGUUUGUAGCAUAGUCAUGUGCGAGCCUGUGUAACUGUUUAUUCUUAUGCUUGAGCCUUCUGAUCUCCUGUUUGAGACUUAUCACUUCAGCCACCAAUGAUUCAACUUGGUGGGUUCGAGCAAAUAGGUGUUGAGCCAUAUUAGACAUAUAACCUGCACACUGAACACUGAGAGCCAGAGAAUCCUUAACAGCCAAAUCAUCAGACCGUUUGGAAAGUAGUCUGUUAUCUUUGGGAGUGAGAAGGUUCCUGGCCACCAUCGCAGCGGUUAUAUCAUUCUUCAUCACAGAGUCCCCAACGGUAAGAUGACCAGUAGGGGAUAAUAAGGAUGGGCGCCAUAUAUUGUCUUGAGAAGGCAUGGCUGCCUCUUCACCAAAGUUCAAGUCAAAACGACGGUCGGAUGGGCCAGACAUUCUCAGAAAUGAUGAAGGAGAAAUGAGGUGCAAUAAAUCUCUGAAGUAAGGGGAAAAUUCCUACAAGCAAUAUCUCUUUGAAUGUACUUCUUGCACACAAUUGGUGCCCUUAUAAAAGAAAGGGCAACAGGGCCGUUGGUUCAAAAAUUGAAGAGGCACCACUCUCCGGAUUCCGAAGAGGCACCACUUUUCACACGCAAAAUCAGCUCAUCGGGUACCACAAAUAACUUUGCCAAAGAUCUCUGACAAAGUUUAGACACAUAAAUUUUAAAGGUCCAGCUACCUUACUAUUACCCACAAGGGUAAAGGAAUAGCACCACUGCUUGAUAACUAGAAAGUCCCUAUGUGUGUCAACCUUCGUGCUCCAUGGCAAGGCAGACUAGCAAAAAUGCCCAACCUUUACUCACAUUCGAGAAAACACUCCUAACAAGAUUGCUUGCUCAAAAAUCGAAGAAGCACCGCUCUCCGAAUCUCGAGCGCCAGACUCCCAACAGGAUUACUUGCUCAAAAAUCGAAGAGGCACCGCCCUCCGAAUCUCGAGAGCCAGACUCCCAACAGGAUUACUUGCUCAAAAAUCGAAAAGGCACAUCUCACCGAAUCUCGAGAGCCAGCCUCCCAACAUGAUUAUUUGCUCAAAAAUCGAAGAUGCACCGCUCUCCGAAUCUUAAGAGCCAGACUCCUAAUAAGAUUGCUUUAUCCGAAUCUCGAGAGCCAGAUCCCCAACAUGAUUGCUUGUUCGAAAACCGAAGAGGCACCGCUCUCCGAACUUUGAGAACUAGAUUUCCUUGGAUAAAACUUGUCUGCAAUCUUCACACGCAACAUCAGCUUUCCAGAUACCACAUACCACUUUUUCAAAGUGCUCUGACAAAGUUAAAACACGUGAAUCUUGCAGCUUCCACUACAUUGCUAUGACUGAGAAUGGUAAAGGAACAGCUUUACCACUCCAUGUUGGGAUAAUUCCUAUAUAUGUCGACCUUCAUCCUCCACAGCCAGGCAGACCUGCAAAUAAAAAAAAUGCUCAACUUUUCUUCACAUCCGAAAGGGCACUUUCAGCAGAGUCUCUCAAAAUACUCAGCUUCUUUUCCCCUCGAUAAUACCUCUACAAACAAGCCACACCAGAGAAAGAGUAUCUUAUAUCAUCAGGGUUAAAAGCAAGAGUAUCCCAUAUCAUGCUUUUCCCUGUCUUUUCCUUUGGCCUUGUUCUUACCUGUAAGACAAGGAGAAAGAGAACAAUCAGUCAGCACUUGGAAUCAAGCUUCUAGUCAGGAACUGACUGCUUGGAACCCCUUGCCUGAUUACUUACCUGGCAUUGCUCUCGAGUACUCAUCUUCAACAUCUUAUGCUUCGAGAUAAGAUACCACAUAUGCCUGAGGAACAGAUAGGGUAAGUGAGAAGGAUACAAGGAAGCAUGUGGAGACAAGUGUAACAGAACACGUGCCGAUACAUCCACUACUUUGUCAACAGCAAAAGUAUCCCAUAUCAUCAGGGUCGAACAUACUCUAGAUUUGAUGAACUUGUUUUGACCCUCAAAUUCUUGAGUUGGCCUUAUACUCUAGAGGAAACCAAAAAACCCUCCAGCCCAGUUCAAGAAUAAGCCUGUGGAAAGUUACUUCUUCAAAAGUAAAAGUAUCUCAUAUCAUCUCUUCUCCAUUUGCUUCUCCUUAUCCUUGUUGUUGUUUACGACACAAGGAGAAUGAUAACAAUCAACCGGAAGCCGAAGUCGAACCUUCAAUCCAGGUUGCUUGCUUAGAAGUCUGAUUGCUUACCUUGUCUGUUACCUCAUUCAGCAAAUCUCCUCACUCGGUGACUUGGGGGACUUCUACUAUAGGGUUUGUAUCGCACUUGACCAAGCCCGAAACUACAAGUAAGCUUCAAGUGAAAUUGAUGCAUUACCUUGUGCAUCAUCAUCGGUUCAAGAUACCAUCCAUGGAUGAAGCAAAAGUACUUCCAGAGAAGAUGCCACAUCUACAUAUGAGACAGAUAAGGCAAGUGAAAAUGAUACCACACUUCGGUACUUAGAAGUUUCAUGAUUACUCAAUGGCUUGGAUCUUGCAAGUCCCCAACCAAGGAGCUUCCCUCACUCUGGAACUUAGGGGAGCACUGUUUAUACCAUACUUGACCAAUCCCGAAACUACUGAGCACCAGUCAACGUUAUACCGUCAAGGACCCAGAAGAGUUUCCCUCCAACCAGGAGGCCAAUCACAGCGCGACACGUGUCGACAUCAGAAGCCAAUCAUAGCGUGACAUGUUUCAACAUCAGAAGCCAAUCACAACAUGACACGUGUCAAUGUCAGAAUGAAACUAGAAGCUCUCUUUUAUAAAUAAAGAUCAUUCUCUCACAAUAUUUCCUAAUGUCAUUUGUACUAACUCAUUCACUAGUACUCAUAAAAUGAGAGCUUGAACCUAUGUACUUGUGUAAACCCUUCACAAUUAAUGAGAACUCCUCUACUUCGUGGACGUAGCCAAUCUGGGUGAACCAUGUACAUCUUGUGUUUGCUUCCCUGUCUCUAUCCAUUUACAUACUUAUCCACACUAGUGACCAGAGCAAUCUAGCGAAUGUCACAAACUUAACACUUUCUGUUGUACCAAAGUCCUCAUUGAUUUUGUGCAUCAACAAGUUCAACUUUAUGCUUCAUUGUACUUCGUUCAUUGUAUGAGAAAGGACAUCUCCUUUGAUGUUGAUCUAUUGGUAAAGAUGCAGCACUGGGCCUACACGCAACCACUGAAUUGGUAUUAAAGACGUUUUUCUGCUACCUUGAAAGUAGGAAUGACAAUUUUAACCGUUAAACCCGAUAACCGUGGAUAACCGCCCGAAUGGAUUGGAUUUGGGUAUGAAAAUUCGGGUAUAUUUUGGGUAUGGGUAAAAACCGUGAUUAUUAUUCGGUUAUGGUUUGGAUAUGGUUAUAGGGGUCCCCAAUCCGUAUCCAUCCCUAAAUACGAACCGAAUAAUAUAUAUUGUAUAUAAUAUUAAAGUAUUAAUAAAUAUAUAUUAUUCACCGAAUCCAUUACCUUAAGAAUACAAAAAUUGCAUUGUGUGAGUUGCAUUUUGUGGAAAAGUUCAAAAGUUUUAAUGGUACUUAUGGGAGAUAUCAAUGGUACUUAUGGGAGAUAUCAAAAGAUCAAAUCAAGAUUAUCAAUGUUUAGCUUUAAUUUUUAUGCUUCACAAGAGCCAUUCAUUAAAUCAUUUUAUACAUCAAAUAUUUAAUGACGAAAUUAAUAUUUGCUAAAUUAUCAUACGUCAAUUGAAUGAAUAUAUUUUUUUUUAUUGACAAAGAUGGAUAUAACUGUUAACCGAUGGAGAAUCCGAUACCUGGUGGGUAUGGUUAUGGAUAAUACCCGAUGGUUAAUUUGCGGUUAUGGAUAUGGUUAGUUUUCGUGGUUUUGGGGAUGAAUAUAGCAUUUCCGUCCCCAAGCUGAACCUUUGCCAUCUCUACCUAAAAGGUACCACGGAUUUGGGCUAAUCCUAAUGCAUCUCGAGAGGAUUCGACCCCCUAAUCCUCGGAAUGAUGCUUGCCUUAUUUGUUAUGCUGAUGCUGGUUACUUAUCAAACCCGCGCAAGGCAAAUCCCCGAAUGGUUAUAUCUUUAUUGUUAGGGAUAUCACAAUAUCUUGGAGGUCCACAAUAUGACCUUUGUUGCGAAACCUUUGAAUUGUUCCAAGACUUACCUCACUUCACUAUGCCAUACGUGAGACAUGGUUAGGAGUUAUUGUUGAGUAUAUUCGAAGUACUUGCUGUUUUCAUCCAUCGUUGAGUCCCAACGACGAUACAUGAAGACUAUGUCACAUGUAUCAACCUGACCAAGACACGAUACAUCAACAAAGUCAAUGCCAAGACAUAUUACGUCUACAUCAGCAAAGCAUCAAGAGAUUAAAGUCAUGCAAGCUGAUCCCAGACAACCUUGCUGACCUCUACACGACGUCAUUGCCGAAGUCAACCUUCCAAAAGCUUGUCCGAGGAAUUGGUAUGCCUAACCAUUCAUAUGCAAUGCUUGUAGUUCUCAUUUGCAAGUUCUGUCAAACUCAAAGGAAGUAUCCAGAAGUAUACUCACUUGAUCUUAAUGUACUCUUUUUCCCUACGAUUAGGAGCAUUUUUCCCAUUGGAUUUUUGCUACCUAACUAGGUUUUGACGAGGCACCCAUCCUGGGUUGGUCAUACCCUUGUGAGCUCUUCUACUUGCGUCCAGAAGACGUAUAAUUUUGAAUUAAUGCAAUUUCUCAUUUUUCUCCUUAGUCUAUGAGUUUUCAUCCCAUCUUGGGUUUUACCAUAAUGAGGUUUUGUGAGUUUUACCUUUUAUGUAUUCUUCCAUUGUUUUGAGACUUGCAUCCGCUCAUUGUGCCGACGACUUCAUCAACUGUACUUACUUCAUUGUUGAAGAUCUGAUGUGUCAUUUGUUUGAGUAUUUACACACUCAAGGGGGAGUGUUGCAGUUCUAUUAUAUUAGGAAUGUGAUUAUGUAAAUCCUAACAUAUCUAGGAUAUCUUUAUGGGAUUCAACCAUGUCUCUUAUACUAGAUAUUAUCCUAUUAGAGUUGUAAUCCUAUUAGACCCACUCCAACCAUGGGCUAAAACCUAUAAUUCCCCUCCCCCCUCCAAAAUCCACUCCAACCCAUGACCUAAAAUUAACCUAAAACCUAAAACCCAAAUGAGGGUCAAAUACCAGCCCAACUUUAGUCCACAAAGCAAAGUGGACCCAACAAAAGAGACUGAAACUGGGGCUGUGAAGCCCACUACCCAUGCCCUACUCACCUACGCGCUGCACGUGCUAGGCAACUUCUGCUGCCCAACAAACCCACUUGGGGUUGUUCCCUCGGGUGUUAGACCAUUAAGUAGCCUAACAACUCGAUUUAAAUGGGCCGUUGGUUAUUCCAAUGGUCCAGGUCCAAAUUAUUAUUUUUUUAGUUUUAUAUUUAUGUAUUUAUUGAAUCAAACGGUUUAGAUCGAAUAUAAUCAAAUCUAACGGUAAAAAAAAAAGAUUUAACGGUCCAAAUUUAAAUCCAACGGCUAAAAUAAUUUUAAAAAAUUAUUUAACUUAAAUUCAACCAAAAACUCUAUAAAUACCUAUGUAUUUGUUCAAACAUCCGCACAAAACUCACUUUUCUCCUACAAUUCUUCCAAUUUUUCUUUCUACCAUUUCUUCUCAUUUCCAAAUUUUUUAAGAUGGCAAAAAAGCAUGUUAGAGGUCGUAAUUGGACCUUUAACGAAGAUAUUGCUUUAUGUUUGACAUGGAUUUCUGUUAGCGAAGACGGUGUCAUCGGCACGAAUCAAAAUAGAAAUGUUUUGUGGGGUAAAAUCGUUGAUAAGUUCCAUGAAAACUCCAACGCCAGUCGAAGGGAAGUUGGUGGUAUUUAUGAUUGGUGGAAGAUUAUCAACAAAGCGUGCACUUUAUGGAAGGGAAGAUUGGAGAGAGCCAUGGUUGACAUGCCUAGUCGAAGGGGCGCCUAAAAAAUUAUGAGUUUCUUUGUUGAUAUUUUAGUUGUCAUGUACAUAAUAGUAUUUUGCAACUAAUUGUUUUUAUGUAUUUGUUGCAUAGGGUGACAAAGCAAUGACAAUUUACAAGACAAGAACUACACCAAAAAAUCAAGCUUUUAAGUUGCAUCAUGCUUGGAACAUCCUCAAGGAUUGUCCGAGGUGAGGAACCGAUGCGAACCAACAAUGUGGAAAAUUAUUUCAUAGUGAAGCCCCACCCCUAAAUGAUGUCAAUGAAAGUGUGAAUUUUGCUGACAAUGAAGGUGUCGAACAAAUGACCCCAACUUCUUUUUUUGCAAGGCCCCUGGGUAGAGAUAAGCAAAAAGAAACAAAGAGAAAAGGGAAGUCCCAAGAUCUGAUACGUGCACAAUUUGCUAGCGAAAUUGCAAGAAUGAACGAAAACCAUAUCUCUUGGCAAGAAGAAUCGGCCCAAAUACGUUUGGCCAUGAAAGAAGAAGGGGAUAGGGAGCAAGAAAGGUUCGAAAUUAAUUUGAUGAUGGAGGACCUCGAUAAAUACACUCCAGAGAGGAAAAAAUACUUAAGUGGUAAGCAAAAGGACAUUUUACGAAGGAAUGCCACAAGGAGUAUAUUUCAAGAUGAUGAUUCAUCUCAAGACUAUCACCCCAGUCCAUCACUAAGUCGAGAUGGUGGGUAUCAUUAUUAAGUUUAUGUAGUUUAUGAGUUUUCGAUUGUAUUAAGUUUAUGUGGUUUAUUAAUUGUCUUUUUUUUUUUUUAAGUUUAUGUGGUUUAUUAAUUAUCAUUUGUAUUAAGUUUAUGUGGUUUAUUAAAUGUCGUUUGUAUUAAGUUGAUGUGGUUUAUCAUGAUUUUCAUGUAUUGAUUUAGUGAUUUUUCAAAAUUUAUCAGAAUUUAAAUAUUUUUAGGUUAAAAUGUUCAUAAAAUUAAUUUAGGAUAAUCUACAUUUUUUUUAAAGUUAAUUUAAAAAAAAUCUUUAAUUUAUUUUUUGAUAAUCUCGGGCUAAAAUUUUAGAACAAAAGGGUUAGAGCAGAAAACCUGUUUCUGGGCUAAAACCUAAAUUUUCUGGGCUAAAUAUUUUUAGGUUUUAGGUCUGGAUUGGAGAUGGUCUUAGGGUAAGGAAUUGGCCUUCCCUACUACUAUAAAUAAAAGUACAAUGAGGAUGUAAUAGAACACAGAUCUCUCUUCUCUAUUUAUGCCGCACCCCCUCUAUGUUUCUGAUAUCCAUAAUUAUUCAAUAAAUUAUACCUAUGAUAUAAAUAAAUAAAAUAAACAAUUUGAGUGAUCCCGAAAGAAAAAUAAAAAACCAAAUGGGGCCAAACGUUGCGUGGUAUUUGUUGGUUUAAUAGUAAGAGAACGGGAAGAGAGAAUCCCGAAUGCUUAUAUAUUACAGAUUACCACUUCCCCAUCACACACGGCACUCACACUCCAUACGUUAAUCUAAGCGUAACCAAAAUCAGUCUCGCAGUUCUGCCAAAUGGGUUUGAAGGUAUGCUCUCGAUUUUAUCCCCUUCCCUUAAACAUCGAUUUAAUCUCAUAUUAUCCGUGAAAAUUCAUCCUUUCGCCGUUAAAUUUACUACUUUUCUUGGGUUUUUUGUAGUGCAAUUAGUUCAGAUCUGUAUUCUAAUUUGUUUGUUUUGAAUUUGAUGAAUUUCUAGAUAAAUCAGCCAGAUUUAUAGUUAAUUAUAGUGGGUUCUCUUUAAUUUAUGUAUUUUACUUGUUUUGCAUUCAUUUGGGCUGAGAUUUUGAUCCUGGUAUAGUGGAUCAGAGCUUUCGUAACUAGUGUUUAUCACUGUGGCACCAAUUAGUUUAGAUCCGGUUGUUAUUAACGUGCAGAUCAUCGUCUAAUGACGGUUUUCGGUUCUUUUUGCUACAUUCUGCUUUGCUUGUUUUCUUGAACUGAAUAUGAAAUAAGGCAGUGUCUGUCUGAGAUUUGUGAUAAGCAGGUGCAAAUCUAUUGUCCAAUCUACCAAAUGUUUGCCAGCUGCCCAAAAAAAAAAACUAUUAUCUAUGAAAAAACAUCUUCCGGUCAAUCAUCCGAUCAACUUAGAAUUUUAUGAUUCAUAAUUUCAUAUGCAUUGUAUUGCUUUAGCACUUGUAUAAUUGCCAAAAUCAUCGUAAUGAAGAGGGUGUAUCUCCCAAAAUGUUUAAUGAAUUCAAGUCAGUUUUAGUGUCAAACAAGAUUCUAAAAACGCUAGGCACUAGUCGGGUGACUGGCUGGGGCGGACGAGGUGGAUUUAUGUAAAUCUAUUAUAUUUCUUGUAAAUAAGUAUCAGUUUAUACUUAAAAUAUAAACAAUUUCAUAAUAAACUACAAAAUAGAAUGACAUAUAUAUAAUGAAGUAUUGGAACAUAGUGAAAACAUAGAGAACAAGCAUAUAAUGUGUGUUCGUUUAAGCCUACAACAAGUCUCUUACAAUUUAUUGAAAAAAAUAAAAUGCAAAAUAAAAGUUAUCUAUUUUUAGUCUAAGUGAGUCGCAACCUAGGCAGGUGCCUAGGUGGGUCUGGGCGGGCUAGGCGGUCUAGGCGGGUGCCUCCACAGGUCUAGGCACCAUUUCUUAAUUUUCAAACGCCUAGGCAUUAAUUGGGGCGGUGGCCCUAGCGCCUAGGCGGGGAUUUUUAGAAGAGCAGUGUCAAAUAGGCAGCUUGGACUUGGAAUACUCUGUCUAAAGUUAGCGUGUAAAGAAGCUCUGUAUAUGGUCUUGUUCUUAAGUUAUGCAUGUUUAUUGUUGGAUUGUGAGUUAGUAUUAGUAACACCUUAGUAAGAGUAAGGCGUUUCUCCAUUUAAGCCUGCCCACUCAGAUUUGGCCGGUUAUCUGCUUUCUUUUGCGGUAAUAAUUUGUCACUGCGUGAUAGUAUUUAAUCGUAUGAUCUACUUCCUACUGUAUAAUCAUUAAUCAGUUAUGAGCACUGCGUGAUGGUAUUUAAUCGUCUGAUCUACUUCCUACUGUAUAAUCAGUUAUGAGCGAAUUUCAUUGUUUUGACUAGUAUUGCAUUGACAAUAAAAUUGAACAUGUUUGGUACAUGUGGAAGGCGUAUCUACCUUCUAUUUGAUAAAAAAUCCACUUGCUUUAAUUCUUAGCUUUUACUUGUAUUUCCUCAUUUAUCGAUUGUUUGUGUCAAUUACAGAUGAUGAAAAUUUAUGUACUGUAUAAUAUUUGAUGAUUUGGUGCCCAUGCAGGAGGAGUUUGAUGAACAUGCUGAGAAAGCGAAGACCCUUCCUGAGUCAACAACCAAUGAGAACAAGCUUAUCCUCUAUGGGCUGUACAAGCAAGCCACUGUUGGAGCUGUGAACACUAGUUAGUAUAAUGAUCCCUGAAAAAUACGAGAACGCACUAUUUUGUUCUCUCGUUGCAACACAAAUUUUCCAUUUAUGAGAUUGUCAACCAUCCUCUAAAUUUUCCCUUCGCGUUUGUUUCUUUGUGGCUGACUUGCAGGCCGCCCAGGAAUGUUCAAUAUGAGGGACAGAGCAAAGUGGGAUGCAUGGAAGGCUGUUGAAGGUGAUACUUCUGAGCAUAAUGUUUUAUAUUAUUAUUAUAUGUCAAUCUUCUUCGUAUGCUCUUGCAUAAUUGAUACUUCUGAGCAUAUCGUUUAUUAUUAUCAUAUGUCAAUCUUCUUCGUAUACUCUAGCAUAAUUCUAAGGUAUAAUUUUCGUUCUGGCAGGGAAAUCCAAGGAGGAAGCCAUGGGCGACUACAUUACAAAGGUGAAACAGCUGCUGGAAGAAGCAGGAGCUUCUACUUGAUGUUUUCGUAUGGUGUUAUUUGAUUCAAAAUAAACUUGUACACUUACGUAUUGGUACUCUGUUAUAUCUAAAUGUGUGCGAAUGUAACAUCCAUGGGAUACUUUCGGUAGAAUGGUUGUACUUUUAGUUGUUUAAUUGGAGGGGUUUGCACUGUUAGUGAAUUUGAGUUUGCCAAUUUGCUUUUACCUUGACCAUUAGUAAUGCUUCUAAGUAUGCUUAGUUGUGUAACAGACUAGCUUUUGGACUCGUGAUAUUUUUCCUUCCCAAUUUUGGAAGAGAGAGGUUUUAAUCUGUGCUACGCAUUGAUUAAAUAUACUUUCUCAUCCCAAUUUAGGAAGAGAUAAGUUCGAAUCUUCACUCUGUAUUGAUUAAACAGAAGUUUAGUUUUUUAGAUUGUUUACACUUGAUUACAUAAACCUGCACAUCCAUCAAAAUGUUGGUGAUAAUACAGGAUGAACGCUGCUCAGCUCUUUUCUUGUAACGAGUCAUUCCUUUCCGUUUAUAUUUUUUAUAUAAAUCACAGCUUGAUGUGUAUAAAUUGCACAAAUGAAUUGUUUCGGAUAAGGAGAAAUGAAAGGGUUCAUUUUCCUCAACUUUUUCCAUGGACAUGGACAUGGUAGAAAAAAGUGAAGUUGUAGACCAUGAUUAGUAAUUGCUACGCACCUACCAAUAAGAUUACAGAGUUUGAAAAGGAAGAAGGUGGUUGACUAAUGACUACUCGAUUCCCAAAGAAAAAAAAUAUGAUCGACGGGUCAACAUCUAUCCAACUGAUACAUAACUGGUUCGAAAUUGACGAAACUUGGGAAAGAGUAGUAGCCGGUAAACUAAAUAAUGUUUGGCUACUUCGAGAUGAUUUAGAAUUCCUUCUUCAAACACUUUGUGCCCGAUUCCCAAAAUUGUCUUUAAGAUUCGAACUGGUAGUGUGCAUCAUUUGGCAAAUAGUAUCCUUGUCAAAAAAAUUAAUUUAAACAAAUGUCGAUUAGCCAAUUCUCUCCAAUACAUCAUAAAAGUUGGAAUCCUAUGACUUUGGAGUCAAGCAUAAAAGUUUUGCAUAUUGGUUAUGUAUUGACUCUAAGGCCUCGUUUGGCAGCUCGGACUGUACUGACUAUUUCUGUCGGAUAGGAUAAAUAACCACCGGAUAGUACUGACUAAAUUAGUCGGACGUUUGGUGCAGUAUCGGACAAAUGACCGUAUUAUUUAUACUAUGUUUGGUAAUGAACCAGAUAGGACAAGGGAAAAAAAAAAUUGAUGAAACUUUCUUUGUUUGUUGAACUUUUCUCAUAUUUAUAUCUAUUGAAAACCACACAAAUUUUCAAAUAACAAAGAAAAAUAGUAAAUUCCAUACAUCAAAUUCAAAAUAUUUUCCAAUAACAUAAAAUGGGCUUAUAUCUAUUUAGCCCCAAAACUAAACUAUAUGUCCAUCUAAAUUAUCACUUGGUCAUAACUCUACCUUUUUUUUUCUGGGGCAGGGUGGAAUAAAAACCCAACCAGUUUUUUUUAUCCAAAUAAAAGCUUAAUUAAAGUGGGAAAAGCAAAAUUCAGCAGUCUAACUGUCUAUGUUUAGCAAAACUAGUGAAAUAUCAUAACUUGAUCUGCCAACCAUUUAGCCCAAAUCAAAUUAAACUGAGAUCCCAUAUGAUACCAAGAGAUGCUACCAAUGAAAUUUCCAGAUGAUAGAAAAUCUAGGAAAUUGGGUCAGCCACAAAACCAAAAUGCUCUGUUUGGUUGCUCAGAAAAUAAGCAAAAGAAAGUAGAACAUAGUCAUAAGAAACAAAAACCCAUUUAGCCAAAUGCAAGUGUAUGGGACCAAGGUAGAGUUAUUUCCAUUUUUCUUUCCUUUUAUUCAAAUCAAACAAUUGUAUGAGAAGCAUAGAAGUCUGAGAGGGCCAUGUCAAUGCAGCUCAUCCCCACCUUCCCAAACAAGGAAUCAAAGUCAAGGAUGACCCCCACAUUCACUGGGAUCGUUGUGUUUUGUGCCAUGGCUAAGAAAAUCCUAAAGAAUAACAAGAAGAAGAAGAUAGAAGAGACAGGGAAACUGGUAAUCUUGGUCAUGUUUGAAUAUCUUGGAUGUUUUGCAAUUCACGGCAUGAGACUACGUAGAUACUAACUUAUAUGAUGAUUAUGGACGAUGGGAUUUGGAAAAUUGGAAGAAACCUUGCUUGAAUAGCUUGAGAGCUUCAAGUUAAGAAAAUUUGAUGUUUUGCAAACAAUGACAAUAAUGUUCAAGAAAAUCCAACUGAAAACCGCCAAAAUAUAGAAAUAUAUUCAGGGGUGUAGCUACAAAUACCCCGAGAUUGCUGUAUGAUCUGCUAUAAAAAGAUGGAAAAUUCGAAGAAACCUUGCUUGAAUAGCUUGGGAGCUUCAUGUUAAGAAGACGAACCUGGACUUUAGCCGAGAGAGCAAGCGCGAGAGGCAGAGAGAGGGUCCGGCAAAUCUACAAUUCGACCCCAACAACAAACCCUAAAAUUCGAAAUUUGUAAUUAAAACACAAAAUUACAUAAUCAAUUGCAUAAUUACAGAGAAAACAAUAACUAGAUUUAUCAAUUGAAAGAAAAGUGCAAGAAAAAUGGAAGAAGGGGGAAGAACAGAGAGACGGGCGCAACCUGGGAAGAAGAAGAAAACUGGUGGGAUUCAAACGAAAAAGAAGACGAAGACGAACCUGGACUUCAGCCUAGAGAUCAAGCGCGAGAGGAUAGCGUCUGGAGAGGACCACGACCGAGCACGAGAGGACACUGCUUCUGGACAGUGCGUCUGGAGAGGAAUGAGACAGCGAGAGGCGCUCCGACUAAAUUGUACCAAGGUUUUGGACGGUAUAAGCAGUCGGGUAUCAAGCGUAUUAAGUAGGUGGGCCCGGAUUAUUUAAUCCGGUGACUAUCUAAUACGAACGGACACCAAACACUGUAUUCCGUAUUAUUAGUCCUAUCCGUUGUCCUAUCCGAUGUACCAAACACGGCCUAUCCGUUGUCCUAUUCCGUAUUAUUAGUCCUAUCCGUUGUCCUAUCCGAGUCAUACGAUUGCAUUUGACUACAAGGGUUAUAUUUGAUUCCUUUUUUAUGUGCAUUGGGAUGAUAUAACAUUAAAGUUAAAUUUGAUUUCAAAAUUAACUUCAUAACUUUUAAUUAUUGGAUUGGAGAUGGCUUAAUACAAAGUUUAAUAAGUAUCUAGAAUCAUCAAUCUAUAAAUGGAUGUUAGUAGUUGGGUUUCAUGCUAGUGGAAGUGGUGGUGGCAUCAAGGGCAGAUGUAUAAUGGAACCAAAGGUGGGUCCUAGGACCACCAGAGUUCGGGAAACACGCAUGUGAAAGUCCUCUGGAGACCCUUCGAAUGUUUGCUAUAAUCCCUUUUGUGCCCACAAAGUACUUGAUUUAAUGUUUGUUAGGCAUAUCUCAGUAAGUUGCGUUGACAACACUCGACAAAAGCUCUCGAUAGUACUCAUCAGAUUGUCGAUAUCUGUUGACAUGCAACAUGGUCCGGCUGACAAAAAUAAACCUUUGUGAAUAAAUUGAAUUUGUUUUUUUAACGCUUCACGCUCUGUUUCUAUCUAAAAAACUUGGACCUUUAACACUAAGACCCCCCAAAGUUCAAAUUCUAGAUCCGCCACUAAGUCACGAUGGUCAUGAUGGCAACGAUAGUGAUGACAAUGACGGUUGUUGGAUGGUGAUGGCUGCAGCAGUAGCAAUGAUAAUGGUGGUGCUCAUUGUUAGGUGGUGAUGAAGACGACAACAGUGGCAGUCAUUGCCUUGCCCAUGCGAUGGUGAUGGCGGAGAUGAUGGUGGCAGGAUUUGUGGCAAUGGUAAUGGUGGUAGCGGCACAUCCGCGGUGGGCGUGUAAGAAGAAUAAUGGUGAUGGUGGCAUAGUGUUCAAUAUUUUUUCCUAUGCUUAUGGUGCAAACAAAGAAAUUGUUGUAUGAUUUAAUAUUAUAUGUCCAAAUUCUAUAUAUUUCUUCAUCUUCAUCGCAAUGAAGAGUUAUAAUCUUAAAAUCCCAAUUGAAAACACCGCUCUAAUUACCUUUAAUACGACUUUCUGAUUUUGUUUUGACUGUUGUGAUGAGUUAUUGAAGGCCAAGAAAAAACACAAAAAGAAACAAAAGAAAAAGAGAAUAAAAAUGGAGAAGAUAUGCAAGUCGAGAGACCUACUAAACAAACGGAUAUCUAGAGAUUUAGUAUUCCCUUACACGAGAAGCGCCGUCUCUAGCCAGAAUACCUUCAAGAUCUCCGAUGAUUCUGGCCAACCAUAUCUCCAAAUUUCUUUGGAUUUCUUUCAAGUUGUUUCUAAUGGAAUCUGAACACCGUCGUGUGUUGUGUUUGGGCUGGUUCCCCAGCUCAUCUCCAUAAGAACUCUUCCCAAUCUCCGUUUAUACUGCCAUCAACUUCUGUCCAGUUUCUGUCGCACGUUGUUGAAGUCUAAAUGAUUCGAGUAAAAAUUCUGUUUGUCGUUGCGUACGAAACUCUGGACUGAGUGUAGGUUCGGAGGGAUCACUGCCUUGCUGCAAAAACAAGAAAAUUUAGUGAGCAACACGGCCCAAUAGGGGGCGACUUCAUCCCACAUGUACACGGGGUGCAGCGAUAACUAAGUGUACGACAUCACCUAAGAGAUGUCUUGGGGUCAGCUAAUUGGUGUGCUUGAGGCAUAGUCACAGCAAUACAACUUUGUUAACUUCAAACUAACGAAGCAGUUGCUUCUCAUUUAUAAAGAACCUCCUGUUUCAUUCCUUCUGCUCUCCUUUUUUUUCUUCAGUUGUACUAUCUGUUGUUAAUGGCGGAUUUCAACUUUAUUAGCGUUCCAAUAUAAUCAGGAUUAUCAGAGGUGUCUUACUUUUGUUUUUCUUUCUGUUGUAGUACUUUCUUCUGUUAAUACUUGGGCUCUCUACAACGUUUAACAGACGAUAAAGUGGCAUAACAAAAGUAAAACAUGGAACAUAAAACAUUACCAUUCUUCUGCACAGAUCAUCAAUCUUCCCCGCAAGAGCUUGAUACCUCUUGGCCUGCUUCCUCAUCAAUGAAGGUAACUUUGAAAUAUCAUUCUUUCCAACAGUUUCCAAAUUCAGUAAUUCCAGUUCAAGUAAUUUUAGCUUAGAGGAUAUUCUUGUCGACUCACCAUCUAGCUUCCAAGGCGACUCCCUAGGAAAGAAAGACGUGUUGAUAUUUAAGUUGCUGCAGAAUAUUAACUAGAAGCCUUAGAAAUGAUCAGUAAGUAGGUUGGCCGAUAUAUACCUUAGUACAAAAUGCUUCAUGUGAACGGUUCAAGGGAUUCAUAUUGUACAUCCUGCAUAAGGAGGAGAACGGAUUAAAACAAGUUCGAACCUUUCCAAUUUGAUAAAUUCGGAGAAGAGAAAAUACGCCAACAUAACUCAAUAAAAAACUCAAGCAGCAAAGCAGUGAAAAAAGACCACAUUGAAUUGCUUUUAAUAGUUUCCAAUUACAUUUGACGUUUGAUGGCUCAGAUGGAAAGUAUUAAAAAGCAAUUAAGUUAAACUUCCAUUUCAGAACACAAGAAGUCAGAACAAAUAAACAAAUUUGAGGAGACUUGAUGGAAAAGAAAAAGACAAAAUUUCUUCUCUUUUAUUUCAGUUUUCCAAAAAAACUGGAACAGUUGAUCAAAUCAUUGCAGAGAAUAUUGGUGUCCAACUUCAUUACAGCGAUAAGUGCCAAACAAAAGGGUAAACUUGAGAUGCCAAGUUACACAGUUUUGGGAUAACAAUUCGCUUUCCAGAUAGAACCAAACACAUGCCUUGUAAAUUGCAACUUGUUUGCUAGUGGUGAUGAAGGAGACAACGCACCUCAGUAUCUGGCAAAGGAUUUGAAGAUGAUAAUAAUAAUAAUGGAUUAAGAUUUAGUCUUUUUUUUUUUUUUUUUUUUUUUGUUAUGAUCAUCCAGAUGCCAAAUUGAAAUGAAAUCGAAGUUCCAAUGUGUGAAAGUGAUGGAGGCAAACCUGCCAGAGCUUGGAAGCACCAGCUACCAAGUGGGAGUUGAAGCCGAAGCCAACGACAUUGUCAUAGACAAUGACUUCCUCCUUGCCUCGGUGCUGGUGGCGGUGACAGUGGUUGUCGCCGUCAACCUCAGCCUCAGGUCCUCCUCCGCUCCUGGUGGCCAUGAAACCAAUCAUGUCGUCCCUCUCCUCAACCACCAUCUCCAAAUCAUGAAUCUUGGUUGUUCGUCUUAAGGAAUAUCCAGUGAGGACGUUCCCUGGCCAACGAGCACACAACUCACCAAGAGAUUGGCGCUGGUUGAUGUUGUUUGUCGGGCUUCUGCUUAUUGGCGGGCUGUAAGAGAAUGACAGAGUUAAUUCUGAAAGGUGCCUUUGUGGGGCCUUAGGUAUAGGCCUUGAGGCUCACAAUCAAAAUUAACUUUAAGUACCCAGGCAUGCCACUGCCAUCUUUAGCAUGACAGAUGUAAAACCGAUGUUAAGUUUUAUUGUAUAUAUAUGUCCGAGAGACCAAGUUGGUUAUGAAAGGUGCAUUUGUGGGGCCUUAAGUGUAGGCCUUGAGGUUUCCUGUCAAAACUAACCAAAUACUUGAACAUAUAUUGGUUGUUUCAUUGUUGCAGAAGUAUCACAACCGUUAUACUUUAAUCGCCCGAGCCCGCAAAGCAGAACGAAUUCAGAUAGGUGCCUUUGUUGGGCCUUAGGUAUAGACCUUGAGGCUUCCUAUCAGAGUUAAUUCUAUACCAAAGCGUUCUGUAGCAAUCAUGAUAUAACAGAAAUAAAACUAGAGAAUAAGCCAAUUACUUUCGCCCCAAGUAACUUCGGACUUCUUGUUAUCAAGGAUUAUCGUGGAUGGGUUAAGUCCACAUAGGGUUCUUUUUAUGCCUUGAGACCAAGGACUUUUAAUUGAUCAAUCUUGUCUGCUCGAAUGGUUAGAACUUAGAAGUCUUUUAAUCAUAAACUGGCUAGAAAUAACUUGGAUGCAGAUGGAAAUAUACAUCAUAUUACUAGAUAUAUGAAUGAAAGACAAAAAACAAAUGAGGUCGGGCAAGGUUUCACCUUGUCGGGAAGGCUGAUCGUCUUGCAACUUCCUCUCUUUAUGAUUUACAAAGGGUUUGAAUGCUAGAAAGGGAGAUUGGAAGAUGAGUUUACAUGAGGGAAUCGAUACUACAGCAAGAUUUAAACAGGGUAGCAGAGCUUUUACAAAGGCUUUCUGGUGAAGGUUGAUCCCGAAAAGGAUGAAGGCUUGGGGGCUGACUACAGCUUUGUGAAGGCAAAUCUGGUUUAAGCAGAGUUUGUGUUUGUAUUUGUUUGUUUGAUUGAGUGUCCUUGUCUCUGAUUUUUCUUCCUCCUUUUAUAGACGAUUUGGCUUGGCUGCCUGCAGUAUUGAUUUUGCCCGAAUGCAUUUGAAGGGCAAUGACUCAUCAACUUUUUACUUGUACUGCCAUUGUAAAGUACUUUUGGGCUGAUUAGCUGGCUGGUCUACGCCACUUGACCUCUAGGUAGGUGAGUAGGUGGUUUGAAUGAUUUGCACUUGGUCGGGAAAUAAGCUUAUUCUUUUUCUGGGCUUCUGCUGGGCCUUGGACUUUUCCUUCUUCUGAACCUUCUUUUGGGCUAACCCCUUUUUAACCCAAAGUUCAAGUUUUAUCCCAAACACUGGCAUUGGAAUCGUCCUAGGUUUUCUCCACCUCCAGAAUCUUGGCAUGGAGGUGGGCGAUUUCUUGGUGGGCGUUGUCGAUCUGGUUGAGCAUCCGUUUCUCCUCGGCUUGCUAAGCGUUGCGGUGGCUGGCGAAGAUCUCGACGACCCUGGCAUUGGCUUUGGAGUCCUCUUUUCGCCUGGAAGUCAUGAAGCUCACUUGCUCUUCCGCCUGCCAUAACAGCGCAGAGAGCUUACCCACUUGGCUCUGGAGCUCCUGGAAGUUGUCGGGAGCUAAAGCCAGGAAAACACCUAGGCUCAGGCCAAGGUAGGAGCAGAAUAGCUUCUUCGUAGCAUCAUCAUCAUCAUCUUCUUCUUCUAAUUGCUGUUGUUGUAGUUUGUGCCCGUUUUCAGCCAUAACUAGUGCAUGUAGGCUAUAGGAGAGAGAUAGAGAGACAGAAAGAGCGCAAGAUAUUUUGUGUUGGGGUUUUGGGAAGUGAGUCGCUUUUUGGUGUGUGCGAUGGACAAGGAUUGUCUAUCCUUCGGUUAGGGGUGGUUUCAAAAAAAUGAAAACAAAAAAAAACCGAAAGCCAAACCAAACCAAAACCGAAAAAACCCAACCGAAUUGAAAAUAUCGAACCGAACCGAAUUCUUUUGGUUCGGUUCGGUUUUAAUGAUCUAGAAACCGAACCAACCCGAACCGAACCAAAUUAAUUAAAUUAAUUUUUUUAUUUAAUUAUUUGUUUUGGGUAUUAUUUUCUAAACCCAAUUUGUAAGUUAAAAUGUGCUAAACCCAAUGUGUUGCCAAACUUUAAGCUCAAAAUAUAAAAAAAAGGCCUAUAAAAACUCUAAACCCUAACCUAUUAUUUCUCCCCCAUAUAAGGUUCCGGAACCAAACCUCCUCUUGAAGAACCUACUUCCAUCUCCAUAGCACUGUCUACUUCUGCCCUAGCUUUCUUUUCCAAAUCUACUCUCAUAUAACAUGUAACAUAAUCCAUAAACAUUUAUUUCAGGUAGAUUACUUGCGUAAUUUGUUAUGGAAAAGAAUCCAACACACACUAAAUAAAUCCACCCACGCAUUACUUUUACUAAUCAAGUUGUCAACAUGUAGUUACAAGCAAACAACCCUGAUCUUUGAACAACAUUAUACAAUUUAACUUUUCUAAGUCAUUUGUACGAUUUUUGUGUUAUGAGGUUGUUAGUUUGGACUUUGGAAGACUUGAUUGAUGAUUUUAGUUCAACUUUAAAUGUUUAUUUUCAUUGUCUUUGAUUCUAGUUAGAAUGCUUAUGUUAUGAUUGUGUUGGAAAUGUUAAAAUUUAAAAUUUCAAUGUUUUUCAUUUUUUGAAAAAAAAAAACAAAAAACCGAAACCAGACCGAAACCGAACCGGAAAAACCAAACCGAAAAAAAUAAAAAAAAAUGAACCAAACCGAAAUUUCGGUUUUGGCAAAAAAUCGAACCGAUUUGAACCGAACCCACCCCUACUUUCGGUGUCCUCCGUGCCCUCCUGUUUUGUGUAGUCACAAUUAAGUCACGUUAAUAUUUUAUAUUGUUUUUUUAUAGAUAUAAUAAGACAAAAAUAAAUAGUAAUAUAAAAUGUUGAUGUGGCUUAACCGUGACUAUACAAACAGAAGGGCACGAGGAGGGCACCGAAAGUGGAGGGCAGACAAUCCUUGUCCGUGUGCGACUGUGGGUAACAGAGGACGAUAGGGAAAAAACGGCUUUUGGGGGUUGUGAUUGUGCGAGUUUGGGAAGGAAGAGAAGACACUCGCUUUUUGCUUUUGGCACUACGGUUGGAGUCUACCUCUACCAACUUUGAUGGGUUCUUAACUGGUGUUAUUGUACUCAUUAAAAUUAACAGGUCAAAUAAUCUGACCCAUUGAGAAAAAGGAAAAAUUUAAAUUAACGGGCCGUGUCGUACAUUGUUCUUUAUUAUUGUAACUAUUGUCGUUAAUGGUUAUUUCUCAUUCUUUGUCAACGUUACAUCGCUGUAAAAUAUGUUUGUGAACAUUUUAACUAAAAAGAAUUCAAAUUCUGGCACCAAAUCUUUAUUCUUCACAAAAACAUAACUUGAAUUGCUUCAUUAUUAGAUUAUAUCCUGGCAAAUUGAUUAGGUACGUAGUUUGGCACAUAAUGAAAAAAAUUAGGGUUCAUAUAUUGUAAUGUGUUAACCCUGUUCUUGUUUUUAUUUUUUUAUAAUUAAACUAGAUCAAUGGUGAAAAUAUAAGAAAUAACUAGGGACAUAGAAAGAUGACAUUAGCUUACAAUUAAUUAAAAAAAAAUGAUUCAAUACCUAAGGAACAAAACAUCAACUUAAUACUUACUUUAAAAGAAUGAGAAAUUAGGUUCUCAUCCCUAUUUUUUCUACUCCAUUGAUUAAGUCUUUAUUCCUUUUCAAUUUUUAAUCAAGGUCCUUAAGUUUUAUUAACCUCAUCAAUUAUUUCAAUAAUAAAAUAUUUACAUGUCAAGAUAAUUAAAUUUAUUUUUUUCAAUUAAAUUAUAUUUCUAAAUAUAUUCAUUUAGUGUUUAGAAACUUUACCUUUGGUAUAUUUAUAUUUAUGGCUAAACUUUGUACCAUAUAUUUCUAUUUUUAGUUUGUACCCAUUUUUAAUUUGCAAUCUUUUUUUUUAAAUUAUACCAAUUUUCUUUUCAGUUUCAAUUUGUAUUCAUAUAUUAAUUUCUUUUUGUGCUCAUAUUUUUUAAACUUUUAUUUGUAAUCAUGAUUUUUUAAACUUUUAUUUGUACCCGUAAUGUAUUUAUAAUGUACCCAUUUUUAUUUAAAAAUGUAUCACUUUGUUACAUACCAAAUGUACCAAUUUUUUUUGUUUUGUAAGUAUCAUUCCUUUUAUGUAAAAUGUAUCUAUUUUUUAAUGUAAAAUCUAUUUAUUUUUUUAAUCUAAGAUAUACCCGUUGUUUUUCUUUAUAUAAAACGUACCUCUUGUUUUAUAUAUAUAUAUAUAUCUAUAUAUAAAAUGUGCCCAAUUUUUUGUACGUGCAAUGUACCCACAUUUUUAUAUAAACGUACCAAUUUUUAUAUGUAAAAAUGUACCCAAAAUUUUAUUACAUAAAUGUACUCACAUUAUAUGUGACGACCCGUCCCUAAUUUUCCUAUGUAAUUUCUCCCCGAGUAUGUAUUUUGACGAUUAUGCUCUUAUGGGCAAGUGACGUGGACGUAUUCGUAUCGCUUUUAUUCUAUUUUUCGCUAUCGUAUCUAAAUUGUGCAUGUCGUUACGGGUGAACGUAAAUUUUUAUUAGUGUGAAAACACUAUCCUGGAUAGAUUUUCGAUACUCUUUUCAGUAGAAAAUCUAAAACUCUAUCCCUAGCUUUUGCCUAGCCCAUCCCGUGCACCCUUCUUUAUUAUUCACUCUCUCACCAAUCACAUCUCCCCCUCAUUUAUGUCCCCCAAUCAGAAAAGAGAAAAAGGAACUCUCUUUCUCUCUCUUCUUUCUCUCCCUCUCUCUCGUAUGCUAUCUCUCUCUGCAAAACCUUCAAACGAGUUUCAAAGCUCACAGAUCGAACCCAAGAACCUCGUUUUCGUGUUCGUCUCAUCCUCAUGAACACAACUCUGUUCUUGAAGCCUAGAAUAUACGAGUUUUCAACGUCAAACUCGGGCAAACUGAGUUCGACGUGUUUUCGAGCGAGUUAGGGUGUUUUGAAGCUUGGGGAAACUUCUAUGCAACUCCUCGAGGCUCCUACAACAAUUUGGGAGAAGUUUGGAAGUAAAACGAUUGAGUUUCGAUGAGUUCACUUUUGGCCGAAACUUUCGAGGCUUUUUCCGGCGAACUCCGUCCACUUUUUAGACUCUAAAUAGGUAUAACACGAUUCUACUCUUCAUUAGCUUCAAAUCCAUAUAUAGUGCGUCGAAAAUGGUUGAGAAAUGAAGGAGAAUAGUGAAUUUGAAAAUUUUCCAGAAAUUCGACGAAAAACCGAGUUGCAGACGGCGAGGCUCACCGGAGAAGGAGACGGAAUAUUCCGUCAGAGUUGACGGAAUAUUCCUAAUGGCGUCAGGUAACACCGUUAAUGUCUGUUAGCUUUUAACGGAAUAUUCUCGACGAACGUUAGGCAUUGGCCAGCACGUGGGGUGCGUCUGGCCGUGCUCUUGACGGCGCGUGGGGGCUCAUGAGCCAUCCAAAAAUGUUUCUGAAAAUUUGGGAAUGUUUGUGACGUUGAGUAGGUCACGAUGGUAGAUUUAAACCCUAGGUUUGAGCAAACUAUGGGGGUUUUAUUUUGGUUUCCGUAUAUGUGCUUUAAUUAAUUUUAUUUUAGUUAUUUCAUAUAUAGGGGAAACGUAUCCUGAUGACAUUCGAGGCUAAGCUAGGCUCGGGGGUUACGACCCAGCGACGUACUUGUGAGUGGGCAGUUUAUUUUUAUCUAUACAUAUUUAUAGUUUCCAGAAUUACAUAAAUACAUCACUUUGCUUAUAUUGCCAAAUAAUUGAGAACUGCGAUAUAAUUGUGAUAAAUGCUGUUAUAUGGUUGAGAUAUUAUUGUCAUGAGAUUCAUACAUAUCUGUACAUGCUCAUCUUGCUGCACCUUGGUGUUAGUACUCACCCCAGGUCCAGUCCUUCACGUGUAUGUUCAUAUUGCACCGUUCGCUCGUCAUGGAUCCAAGUUAAGUGCCAGUCCUGUCGGGUAGAUUGCAUUAGGUAAUUCGACUUGUAUGUGAUGUGCUUUUGCACCAGUCUUCACGUGAUUGUAGUACUAGAGCAUAUUGAUUACACCCAGUCCUGUUCGUGUCAGAAACUAUCUGUUCGAACUUGUGUGUCAGCUUAGAUGGAUGAGCACUUAGUUAUACUUGAUUAUCACACGAUUAUUACUGUGACAUUUGAUACCAUCAUUACUUGGCAUAUUCCUGGUUAUAUUACUGCUAUAAUAUUAUCGAAUUAUUGUUUAUACACCAAAGUAGUAUGUUUUAAGGAAACUAUACUUGUUUUAUGGUGAGGGGUUAGUAUUUUCAAAGUUAAAGGUUUUCUUAUAAGCAUUGUUUUGCUGACCCACUCAACUUUGUUUUUUCACCCCCCUAGGACCUAGAUAGCUGUACUCUUUGUGGCACUCGAGGAAUCCUGGCAGUUCUGACAUUUCCUUUUGUUUUAGACGUACGAACUUAUCACUAUUAUGUAAUAAGUGUACUUUGGUUGUUUUGACUACUCUUCUGUAGUCUCACUGUCUAUGACGCUCUGAAUAUUUGUAGUGGGUUCAACCCACGAUUGCGCACUCUUUCACUUUUAGUUCUAAUUAGUUUUAAUUUCAUUCACUUUCUGCAUCACUUACCCUUAUGGUUACGUCACCUCACGGUGAUGGCCAGCAUGCUUCAACCUUUCCAGGUCAGGGUGUGUCAUUAUUAAAAAAAAAAAAAAAAAAUAUAUAUAUAUAUAUAUAUAUAUAUAUUCUAAAAUGCACCCAUAAGCAAUUUUUUUGUUGUGGAAACCCAUAAGCAAAUUUCAAUAAUUAAAUUGGUGGUGUAAAUGAAAGAAAAAUAACAUUUGAGUAUUUAUUGAUAUUAUUACAUUUCUUUUAUUAUUACGUCAUUUAUGUGGAGAGGGACUUCAAUCUAAAACCUAAAAUGCAUAAGGUUUGUUUUAUAACAAUUAGGGACCAGGGACUGCAACUAAACUAUACCUUAAAAGAAAUACAUUGCUCUACAUAAUUUAAGAUGGCGGUGAUGAAGGUGGUGCUGGGUGGUAGUCAUCAUCAAAGUUUCUAAUACGAGCUGCCCAUUUUUCUUUUUAUCUUUUUUUUUUGUAUGUACUCAACGCCCUUGAAUCUGGACUUAUGUGGGAAGUAUCGGCCAACAUUGUCACAUCUCGACCCAGCCUCGACUCCGCCGUAGCAUGAUAUUGUCCGCUUUGGGCCCUGGCCAUGCCUUCACGGUUUUGUUUCUGGGAACUCACACGAGAACUUCCCAGUGGGUCACCCAUCCUGGGAAUGCUCUCGCCCAAACUCGCUUAACUUCGGAGUUCCGAUGAAACCCGAAGCCAGUGAGUUCCCAAAAGCCCUCAUACUAUAUAGAGGUGGGCAUGUACAUAUAAGGCAUAGAUGAUCCAUUCCCCUGGGCGAUGUGGGAUCUAACAAUCCACCCCCCUUAGGGGCCCGACGUCCUCGUUGGCACACUUUCGGCCAGGGAUUGACUCUGAUACCAAAUUGUCACAUCCCGACUCGGAGUCCACCACAUCCUUGGCUCCGCCUCUGCCUAGCACGAUAUUGUCCAUUUUAGGUCCCAGCCAUACCCUCACCGUUUUGUUUCUGGGAACUCACACGAGAACUUCCUAGUGGGUCACCCAUUAUGGGAUUGCUCUCACGCGUACUCACUUAACUUCGGAGUUCUGAUGGAAUCCAAAGCCAGUGAGUUCCCCAAAGGCCUCGUGCUAUAUGGAGGUGGGCAUGUACAUAUAAGGCAUAGAGGAUCCACUCCCCUGGGGGAUGUGGGAUCUAACCAAACUAACACACCCCGACUGGAAUCGAGGCAUGUUGGCCGUUACGUGAGGGUGAUGUAGCCAUGAGCGUAGAGCAAAAGUGAUAGUGAUAUGAAAAUGUGAGUAAUUAAAAACCAAAACUAACUGAUUUACACUAAGAUAACUAUAAAAGUGUGCAGAGGUGUUAAAAGUAGUAAUGCAAGUACUCAGAGCGUAAGUAACCUAAGUGCAGUCCAACAGGCUAAGUAUUAAUUAUACAAGACAUGAAAGAGAUUCCUACAUUAAUUGAAGUCUGUCAGAACCACCAUAGAGUCCUCAUAAGCCACCAACACGUACGUCUAAUUAGAACCUAGAAGGGUGCAAAACAGAAAACGUGAGUGGGCAAAAACAAAGCUUUUUAAAACCAUUUCUCUUUCCAAACAUAAUAACACCUUACCGUAAAACCUGUAUAAUUUCCCAGAAAAUAAUAAUACAUACGUAUGUAGAAAUUAUGCUCGAGAGUAGUGAAAACCAAGUAUAUGCCAUGUCAAGCAUCUCAACAAUGAAAUAAGUAAGCCAGGUAAAAUAAAUCAAUGUAAACUGAUAUGUCAGCCGGAGUCACCCAACAUGACCUGUACGGCUGAACCUAUAGCUCAUCAACCAAUUCCUACACAUGAGUCGGAACCACUUAAUGUGGUAUGUACGACAAGCCGGGUGUAAAUAGAUACGCUUAAGUGCUACGAUCACGUGAAGGUUGUGCGAAGUAUCGCAAGUCACCUACGAGUCGGAACCACCUAAUGUGGUCUGUACGACAAGAUGGCACCUGCCUUGGAUCCAAGGUGGGCGUGUGGUGCGGGAGGUGAACGAUCACGUGAAGGCUAGGUCCUAACCUCAGGCGGAGCACUAAAACCAGGGUGCAAGAUAAUGAGCACUAAAUGCAUCUAAACAUAACCAUACAUACUGCAAUGACUAUCAUCAGUAUGCACUCACCUGAAGCUUACCUGGGCAUCCGCAGCGUCAUGCAAUAAUAUGCAUAUCUAUACUAAUGCACAUGCUAAAAUGUAAUGCAAUUGACAUGGCAUUUAUAAACGUAAAUCCAUUUAAAAUAAUUUCUGGAAAAAUGGAAAACAUAUAUACAUAUAUAUAGAAAACCAAAAGCUCACUCACUGGUAUGUAGCAGGGUCGUAACCUCCGAGUCUCGCCUGGCUACGCUCGUCCUCUAGAAACUUCUCACCUAUAUGCGAAACAACUAAUUUAAUGUUAAUUCUAAGCACAUAACCAAAACCGUGUAAUAACUUCUCAUACGUUGCUCAAUUAGGAUGUUCAAAUAUACCAUUGUGGCCUACUCAACACCGCGAGCAUCCCCAUAUUUUUAGAAAAAAAAUUCUGAUGUCUCAAACGCCCUCACACACAGGCACGUGCCUAGCAGGCUUACGGAAUCCCUAACGGUAUUAGGAAAUAUUCCGUUAAAUAGAAGCAUUUUUCGUUUAAAAACUAACAGAGUUACCUGACGCUGUCAGUAUAUUCCGUCAAAGUUGAUGGAAUAUUCCCUUUAUUGUCCAGUGGCUUGGCCAGAGCUGCUGUCGACUGCCGUAUAUUACACCAGAAACUGGAAAAUUUUAAAACUUCAAUAUCUCCCUUGUUUCUUCACCAAAAUUCACAAAUUUUCUAUAAAUUUGAAGCUCUCAACAAGGAGAACAUAAUCUUACCUAUUUGAAAUCCUAAAACCGAUGGAAAACGACCAAAAAAAUUCUUGGAAAAAUCGGCUAGCUCUGCAAUUCCACAAUCGUGCUUAUUCCGACGUCCAAACUUCUCCAAAACUAGUCUAAAAUGCUAGGGAAGUUGAGUAAGUACCUUACUAAGCCUCAAAACCAAGUGAAUCACCCACGAUCACGUUGAAGCUAUUUUAGCUCUUCAACAUAAUUUUUGAGUUAUGGGGUUUUCGAGAUCAACUCACUUAACAAAUGGUACCACAAGAUUCUAGAGCUCGAGAUAAGUAUGAUUAUAGAAACCUCAAGUUCGAUCUGUGAAGUUUGAUGGAGUUUGAAGGUUGGAGGACUUAGUUGUACGGACGGGAAGGAAAGAUAGAGAAGAAAUGAGGGAGAAGAGUUUGCACAUGUGUGUGUGUGUGUGUGUGUGUGUGGUCACAGGUUGGCCAAAAAAAGAACAAAUCUCAUGCCCUAAUUGGGCUAUAGGAUUUAAGGCUUACACAAAAGAGUCCAAAAGAAAAUAAACUAUCCCAAAAAUUUGAUUGGGCUCCAAGUUGUAGGAAUUAAAUUGAUUGGUGACUAAGAAAUAGUCAACCUAAGAAUAUCCUUUCUCCCAUUUACCAAAUCAUUUGCUUGUACAAUUUAAUUACAUCAGCGAGAAAAAGAGUUUAAAACUAUAUACAUACAUCCACAUCACUAAGCCUCAAGGACAUAAUUGUCACUUUCACACAUUCAGGGAGAAAAUAUAUAUUUAUUUGGGACGGGUCAUCAUAACCUACCCCCUUAAGAAAAUUUCGUCCCUGAAAUUUCUGUACAUUAGCAUAACACAUAUUAAUAUCCAUAAAAUAGCCGUGGAUAUAAAUGUUGCAUACAAUCAUUCGUCUCCCAAGUGGCUUCUUCCAUUGAAUGGUUCAUCCAUAAAACUUUCACCAUACACACAGUCUCGUUCCUAAGAACCUUAUCCUUCCAGUCUAAAAUCGUCACUGGCUCCUCGUCAUAUGUCAAGUUUGGAUUAAUUUGGAAUGGUUGAGGAGGUAUCAUGUGUGAUGGUUCAGAGACAUAAUGAUGAAGCAUAGAGACAUGAAAAACGUGGUGCACCUUUUAUAGCUCUAGAGGUAACUCAAGUCUAAAAGAAACUUCACCAACUCCUCGGUGAUCUGGUACGGUCCAAUGUAGCGAGGACUUAACUUACCCUUUUUACUGAAUCGUACUACGCCCUUCCACAGAGAUAGCUUCAGAAAUACCCAAUGUCCAACUUUAUACACCCUAUCAGUGGCGUGUUUAUCGGCAAGGCUUUUCUGUCGAUCUUGGGCCGCUUUCAGGUUAGCUUUAAUUACCUGAAUAUUUUAGGUAGUCUCAUCAACAAUCUCAGGGCCCACUAACACCCUUUCAGCAACUUCUGACCAACAUAGAGGAGUACGACAUGACUUACCAUAAAAUGCCUCAAAAGGUAACAUCCCAAUACUAGAAUAGUAGCUGUUAUUAUAGGCAAACUCAAUCAAAUCCAAAUGCUUAUGCCAAGUGUCGCCAAAAUGCAGCACUGAAGAUCUCAACAUAUCUUCUAGCGUUUGGAUAGUUCUUUCAGAUUGCCCGUUGUUUGCGGAUGAUACACCGUACUAUAAAGCAAUCUCGAACCAAGAGCUUUCUAGAAAGACACUUAAAGCUUAGAAGUAAACAUAGGAUCCCGAUCAGAAAUAAUACUAAUCGAAACCCCAUGGUAUUUAACAAUCUCUUAUAUAAAUAACUCAGCUAAUCGGCAUAAAGAAUAGUUCUCUAGAACAGGUAUAAAAUGUGCUGACUUGGUAAGCUGAUCCACUAUCACCCAAAUGCUAUCAUAACCAUUUCGCGUACGAGGAAGUUUAUACACAAAGUCUAUAGUAAAAUCUUCCUAUUUCCACUGUGGUAUGGGAAGUGGCUGCAUUAAUCCAAAAGGCUUCUUCCUCUCAGCUUUGACUUGCAGACAAACCACACAGUGACUCACAUAUUCAUCAAUCUCUCUUUUCAUGCCAGGCUAGUAGUAGAAAGGUCGAAUAGUAUGAUACAUCUUGGUACUCCCAGGAUGCAUCGCAUAAGCCGAAACAUGCACCUCAUCAAGAAUAUCUUUUUUUAAUUCUUCGACAUUAGGCACAUACAUUCGGUUACCUUGCAUCAACAGACCAUCAGAAUCCCUAAUCCUGAGAUCUUUCUUUUUCCCCUCUGAAACUGCAUGAAUUAACUCCUGAGAUUCCUCAUCAUUCAUUUGAGCCUCGAGUACACGAUCUAUCAAAAUUGGUCUGACCCGAAAACUGGCAAGUAGGGUUUUUUCCCGAUCUAUGACUCCUAAAUCAACUCCAGUAGAUAUCAAUUCUGUGAGAAUAGGGACACGACAAGUAGGUAGAGCAUUAAGUCGACCAUAUGAUUUCCUACUAAGUGCGUUUGCCACUGUGUUCACACGACCAACGUGAUACUCAAUUGUGCAAUCAUAAUCACUGAGCAAUUCUAUCCACAUCCGUUGUUGAAGGUUAAGGUCUUUAUGGGUGAAAAAGUAUUUGAGGCUUUUAUGAUCUGUGAAAAUCUUGCACUUUUCCCUAUAAAGAUAAUGCCUCCAAAUCUUCAAAGCAAAAACAAUGGUCGCCAAGUCAAGGUCAUACGUAGGAUAAUUCAUCUCGUGAGGCUUCAAUUGUCGUGAAGCAUAAACAAUCACCCUACCAUGAUACAUUAACACACAACCCAAGCCAUUCAAAGAAGCACAAGUAUAAAUAUCAAAGUUACCAUUGUUGUCCGGAAGUGCUAAAACAGGUGCAUGAGUGAGGCAAUACUUUAACUGCUGGAAACUUCGCUCAUAAUCAUCGUCCCAUUCGAAUUUAACCUUCUUACUAGUUAACCUCGUUAAUGGUAGAGCUAUAGCUGAAAAAUAUUUCACAAAACAUCAAUAAUAACCAGCUAGGCCCAGAAAACUCCAUACUUCCGUAACAGUGCGAAUAUGUUCCCAAUUUUCAACUGCAGCUACCUUCUGAGGAUUCACAAGAAUACCCUGAGCUGAAAUCACAUGCCCAAAAAAUGCCACUUGAUCUAACCAAAAGUGGCAUUUGCUAAACUUAGCAUAUAAUUGGUGUUCUCUCAAUUUCUUCAAAACCAGAGUGAGAUGUCAAGUAUGCUCUGCCUUAAACUUAGAAUACAUCAAAAUAUCAUCAAUAAAGACAAUAACAAACCUGUUGAGGUAUGGCUUAAAUACUUGAUUCAUCAGAUCCAUAAAAGAUGCAGGUGCAUUUGUUAACCCGAAUGGCAUCACGAGGAAUUUGUAAUGACCAUAUCAAGGCCUAAAAGCCGUCUUAGGGACAUUUUCACUUCUGAUCUUUAAUUGAUAAUACCCAGACCUCAAAUCAAUCUUAGAGAACACGCAAACACCUCGAAGUUGGUCAAAUAAAUCAUCUAUACGCGGCAACGGAUAACGAUUUUUAAUUGUUACCUGAUUCAGCUGUCGAUAAUUGAUACACAGCCUCAAAGUCCCAUCCUUCUUCCGUACAAAUAAAACUGGAGCUCCCCAAGGUGAAGUACUAGGCUGAAUGAAACCCUUAUUAACCAAUUCCUGCAACUGGGUUUUCAAUUCCCUCAACUCAGCAAAAGCCAUUCGAUAAGGAGUUAAGGAAAUAGGAUAUGUACCUGGAAUUAAAUCAAUAGUGAACUCUACUUCUCUAUCUGGUGGUAAUUCAGGUAAAUCAUUAGGGAAGUGCCUAACUACCCGUACAUCCUCCACACGGAUAGGAGUAUCCUCAUUCAAUACCACGUGAGCCAAAUAACCCUAACAACCUUUCCUUAGUAGCCGUCUAGCCCUCACAACAUAAAUAACGCUGUGUUUCAGUCCACUACGCACACCUACAUAAGUAACCACAUGCAAGCCCCGCCUAUGGAAAGUGACUGUCUUUUCGUAACAAUCUAAUUUGGCACGAUUGUAAUGUAACUAAUCCAUGUCCAGAAGAACAUCGAAAUCAACAAUAUCUAAUGGAACAAGAUUAGUUGGCAUAACGAUGUCCUCCACCAGAAUAGGACUUCCUUGAUAUGCCCAGCUAACAUAACAUGUCUCACCCCUAGGCAAAGAAAACUCUAAUUCAUAACCAAGAGGUGUAAGGUAGGGUUGCGUCUUUUGAGAAAACGUAUGAGAAAUAACCGAGUGUGUGGCACCAUAAUCAAUUAAUACUCCAGCAAAAUGGCUAAGAAUAUUCAACAUACCCAUAAUAAGAUCAAGAUUACUCUACACAUCCUGCAGAGUAAUGUGGUGAACAUAACCUUGUGGCUGCUGCCGUCCUCCACGACCUCUGUUAGCUUGAUUUCCACGUCCCUACAAACCAUGUCCGUGAACAGGCUGAUUAGACUGCCUUGAUGAUUCUGCACUGCUAGAAGCAACCUCAACAUUCUAGGACUGUUCUCUAGGAUACCACUGUGAUCCACUAGCUGGAUAUAACAGAUAUGGCAUGUAACUUCCUAGAUACUAAUGGUACGGAUCAUGUGGUUACUGAUACGGUCAUCCAGAAUAUGGAGCUAUAUUUCUCUGAUAAUGAUAUGCACCCCCAUAACCCGUCGGAGUAUAACAACUAGGCCUUGGAACUUGCUGAAUAGGAAUUGAUGGUGGCAAGGCAUGUGGCUGAGGCUUCUGCUAGCUAUGUGGGCACUGAUUAGCUCGGUGUCCCGUCUAACCAUAAACAAAACAUCAUUUGUUGCCUUGUCUACAAUCUCCAAAAUGUCGACUAUUACAUCUACGACAGAAUGGACCACCAGAACCAUUAAAAUCUCUCUAUCUUUGAAAGUGGCAACCUCCUGAAUGGCCGCCCCUCUGCGGUGCAGUAGAACUCGAGCCCCUACUAGAAGAACCAGAACUAGUAUCACUUCUCUUAAAACUCCACGUCUUGCGAGGUCCCUAUGAUGACUGGCCUUUAUCUUUAUUAUUAUUUAUCUUCUGGUUAUUAUCUUUUUCUCCUUCCUCCUCACUAUCAUAUGAAGCAUUCUCAGAGUCCUCAACCUGAAGUAGAACUUCAUAAAACUCCUAAUAUGUAGAGCAGGGGGUCGUAGUCGCCAUAGAACGCCAUUUCUUUCGAGUACCCCACUUAAAUAGUUGAAGCAUUUCGGCAGGAUUUUCAGCAAUCUCCGGACAAUAUCGGGACAAAUCAGUAAACUAUCUAUAGUACUCAUUAGUUGACAUUUUCCUUUGUUUCAAAUGCGAGAAUUCUUCCUUCUUACAAUCCAAAUACUCUGGGGUACAAAUCUCUUCUAGAAUAGAUGCUUAAAAGCCUCCUAAUUUGCGGCUUAUUCUGGUGACAACUAAAAAGAUUCUUGCCUCCACCAGGAUGUAGCAUCCUUACCCAAAAACCAAGUGGUCGUCUCCACCCAUUUAUCCUUAGGAAGAUUUCCCUGUCAUUGCAUCAAUCGAAAAGUUUUCUCGGGCCCCUCAGUACCAACGAAAUUAUUCAACUUUAAGUUAUAUACAGUCUCCAAGGGGGUUCUCUGGGGAGGAUGUAGCGAGUAUUGAAUAGCAUUAGCAAUAACUUCACCAAGUUAGGCAAUAUCUGGAAAAUUAGACUCGGAGGAAGUACGUGGGUCUCUACGAGGUGACAUGGUUCCGACAUAAGACAUAAAAAAUUAUUAGAAUACCCACAAAAUAUGCAGGACUUUUUCUCAAAACAUUCUCUAAAUUCGCUCAUUUGUUUAGCUACUUCGCUACCUUCAUCCACCUCCUUUGCUUUUCUUUUUUGCUCUUUGGCAUUUUGUUACCCAUAGGCUUAUGACGGAGGUUUUGGGUUCUGGAACAAUCUUUGAUUCAUCAUGUUUGUACCAUAUUUAGGACCUCCGUAUUUAGACCUCGUAUAAAUACUCGGGGGACUCAAAUGUAAUUAUGUAAUAAAUGAAGGGGCAAAUAUGUAAUAAGUGAGGAGCCCUUAUUCUAUAAAAUGACUCCUCACUCCUCAUUAUGAGAGAUCAAGGUUUAGGCCAUGGGAAGAGAGAAAACAUCUUAGAGAGGGCAAACACAGAAAAUAGGCUAGAGAGCACACUGCCUCUAGCCUUCUUGUAUAUUCACCAUUUAGAGUGAAAUAAUAUCAACAUCAGUGUAGACGUAGCCCAAACAGUGGGGUGAACCAUGAUACAUCUUGUGUUCUUUACUUUCUUGCAGAUUCACAGUCGGAUUUAUGUUGUUCCAAGGCCCCUCCGAUUUUGUGCAUCAACAUUUGGCGCCGUCUGUGGGAAACGACACGAAAAGCUAUGUCGAAUAUUAAUUUCGAGCAGUAGUGAGAAUUAUCGUUUCACGAUGCCUCUGUACCACUGACAAUUAGCAUAUAUUAAUUUCUUUCCGUGGAUGCCAACUCAUCCUCGACCCACUGCUCGACUCAGUCCUCACUCGCUUCUUUCGACUCAAGGUUUUGGCUCAAAAUCUGGAGGCUGUUUCUGAAGUUGGAAGCGCGAAUACAAAUGCUUCCAGGCAUUGAUUCAAUUUAGUGAUGUUGUCACCGCAUCUAUGGCAAGGAAUGCGUUGGAUGGAAGAAGUAUACCCAGUUUCACCGAAGCAGAUUCAAGCGGACCUCUGCUCCAACGACGCCUUCCGCCAGUCCAGAGCAUUUCUCCAAGCUCUCCAGCAAUCCACCGCCAGCCGCGACAUCUCCGUCAUCGCCAAGACUGCUGUCGAAGAGAUCGUCGCCUCCCUGGCCUCACUGCAGACCUCUAGGACACCGUCUGCAUGGGAGUUCCCACCGAUCUCGGCUUCCCCAAUCCCGAUGUCAGCGUCACCGUUGUCUUCAUCCUCACCGACUUGCUGGCCGAACCAGGACCGAUGGCCGGAUCUGGUCACUUGGCUCGCCGUCGCUCACAGAGUCCUCAAGUUCGAGUUUGUCAUCGUUUUCCUCCUCUCUGUCUAACCUCUGAUUCAUGAUUUUUUCCAUCGUGCCAAGGAGAAUGCUCCUACCAUCAUCUUUAUUGAUAUGGUGGAUGAUAUUGCCAUUACAAGGUGAAGAACCUGAUCUAUGCCUUCGACGAUAAGGAGAAUGACCAUAAGAGCCGCAAGGCCUUUGUCUGCUUGGUUUACCAGCUGGACAAUGGGUCGGAGCUCCAGUUCACCCGAGCCAUUACAGGCGGAGUGAGUACCGUAUCGAUGGGGUGUCUGUGACGUGGGAAUAGUACAAUGCAAAGCUCAGGUCUCUUGGGAUUCUUGUCAAGGCCCUGAAUUUCCUCGUCUUUUAGAAAGUCUUGGGCAUUUUCUCUCUCUACUGUAUCAGUCUCUCUCUCUCUCUCUGUGAGAAUUGAGGUGGCUCACCGGAAGCUUCAACCUCACUAGCCACUUUACUCUCUUCCUUCAUAAGGAUACCAUGUCUCGCACUCAGGAUGAGUCAGAGUGGCCUCAUCUUCUAGUGCUGCCUUCAUAUGGGAGAGGCAGAGAUGCCCCGGGUGAAAAGUUCAGCAAUCUUAUCUUCAGAACAAACCUCACCAACGUUACCGGGAAGAAGAUAAGUUUAUAUAACAAUUCUAUUAUUAUUCCCUACCAUCUGCCAAAAGAAAAAAGAAAAGAGCUUUACUUUUCUUUUGCCUGCCUCAAUUAUUCUAUAAAUGGUGCCCCAUCUCCUGCGAAUGCCAGGGCAAAAGCGGAGAUAAGAUUCUUUCCUUAUAAUAUUUCUAUUAUUAUUCUCCUUUGUGUUGUCUACCAUGCCUGCUGAUCAAACGUGCCUCCACGUGAAGGUUUCCUCCAACGGCUAGAUCGCUGAGGUUUAUGUGAACGGAGAAAUCUCGUUGUUGCCAAGUCCCAACAGUUUUUUUUUUUAAUGAUGUGAUUUACUUUUCUUAUCUUUUGGAGACAUCUGUAUAACCCCACCAGAGGGUAAUCAUAAAUAAAGAAAGAAGGCAGCAUGCCAAAAAAACAAAGUCAAAAUGUCAGCAAGCCCAAAAUAGUGGGCUAGAAUGUUAUGUGGAGGGCGAAGGCCUAUAUGCCCAAAAGAGCCAGGCCAUAUGGCUUCAAACACCAACCUUCAUCCCUCCACUUAAGGUUCACCCUCUAUUAUCACCAACCAAGUAAUAAAAACUACGUCCAUACUCAAAAAUUAUUCAGCAACCUGUCGUUAUUAUCACCAACCAGGUGAUCAAAAGUACAACCCGUCCUUCAAAAAAUCAUACGUGAGCAUCACUCAUGACAAUCACCAUCAUACAUGAGCAUCACUCAUGUCAAUCAUACAUAAACAUUCAUGAGCAUCACUUAUGUCAAUCAGCUUCGAAAGCUUCAUUUACAGAGCUCUAGCUUCGAAAGCUUUAUUUAUAGAGCUCCAGCUUCGAAAGCUUCAUUUACAGAGCUCCAGCUUUGAAAGCUUCAUUUACAUAGCUCUAGCUUCGAAAGCUUCAUUUAUAGAGCUCCAGCUUCGAAAGCUUCAUUUAUAGAGGCCCAGCUUCGAAAGCUUCAUUUACAUAGCUCUAGCUUCAUUUAUAGAGCUCCAGCUUCGAUAGCUUCAUUUACAGAGCUCUAGCUUUGAAAGCUUCCUUUACAAAGCUCUAGUUUCAAGAGCUCUAACUUCGAAAGCUUUAUUUACAGAGCUCUAGCUUCGAAAGCUUCAUUUAUAGAGCUCCAGCUUCGAAAGCUUCAUUUACAGAACUCCAGCUUCGAAAGCUUCAUUUACAGAGCUCCAGCUUCGAAAGCUUCAUUUACAAGAGCUCCAGCUUCGAAAGCUUCAUUUACAGAGUUCCGACUUCAAAGCUUCAUUUACAAAAGCUCCAGCUUCAAAGCUUCACUUUCAAAGCCUCACCUAUAAAACUUCACUUUCAAAGCUUCACCUACAAAGCCCAUACAUGGAUUGAAUUUGAAGUCUCCAGCCAACAGACUCUAUUGACUGAAAACUUGGGGGACUACACUAUGUACCAUAUAUUGGGCUUCCACAACUGGGCCUCAUGAAAAAUACUUGGGGGACUUAGCCCAUCAUUUAUGUAUUGAGGAGCAAACCCUUAUUCUAUAAAAGGGACUCCCUCACUUUCAUUAGAGAGCACCCACUAUUCAUGUAUUUAGGAGCAAACCCUUAUUUUAUAAAAGGGACUCCCUCACCUUUAUUAGAGAGACUCUUAGCCCAUCACUUAUGUAUUGAAGAGUGAACCCUUAUUCUAUAAAAGGGACUCUCUCACCUUCAUUAGAGAGCAUCGCUGCCAGCUGAGCAACCGCCUCGCCGCAAGCAUCACUCCUAACCCAUCACUUAUGUAUUGAGGAGCCGAGCCCUUAUUCUAUAAAAAUGGACUCCCUCACCUUCAUUAGAGAGCAUCACCGCCAACUGAGCAACCGCCUUGCAGCGAGCAUCACUCCUAAUAUAUCACUUAUGUAUUGAGAAGUCGAGCCCUUAUUCUAUAAAAGGGACUCCCUCACCAUCAUUAAAGAGCAUCGCCGCUUGCUGAGCAACCGCCUCACCGCGAGUGAUCGGAUGAUAUUUAUAUAUAUUUUUACUUCGAAUUCACUCGUCUUUUCUUAGUUAGUUCUUUAUAUUUUUGAGCUAUUUACGUUAUUUUUGUGUUUAUAGGAUUUGUUAUGCAAAGAAAAUAAAAAUAGAACAAGUGAAAUUUUAUGUAAUAAAUUCGUCAAAACUGUCUGUGUAGAUCAGCUUUUAAAUAAAAUUAAAAAUAAAUAUAUAUAUAAUAAUAAUAACAAGUCAUGAUGAUGUUUGAAACAUCAUCAUGAUUCAUGUUUUGUAGAAGAAGAAAGGAACGGCAAAGAAGAAAAGAAAAAGAAAGAAAAGAAAAAGAAAGGAAAAGGAAAAGAAGGAAAAGGAAAAGAAGAAAAAAAAAUAUAAACAAGCAGAAAAAGGGAGAGAGAAGCAGCAAGCAGACAGCUGCCUUGCGGCAGCAGAAAGAGGAUAGAGAGAAGUGGGAGCGGGAAAAGUCAGUGGAAAGCAGGAGAGACAGCUGGGAGCGCAGUAGGCGCAGAGAAUGUGGUGGACAGCAACAGAAAAAAAUAAAAUAGAAAAAAAAGAAAUAAGGAGGAGGUCAGGAGCAUGAGGAUAUAGACGGGAUUGGCAGAAGAGAGAAUAAGGGGGGGAAUUGGUGGAAGGCAGAGGGCUGCCCUUUGGGCAGCGUGAAGCUGCGGAGAGAAGGGAAGUCAGUGGCGAGGAGGACAGGAGGUCAGCAUGAAAAUGCAGUUCAGAGUCCAUGCAGUUCAGAGUCCAAGCAGCAGAUCCUUUCUUUCGGUUUAAUCUUUCCAAACUCCUAUUUUAUUUUUAUUUUAAUAAUGUGUAAUUAAUUUUAUUUUGGCUAGAGGUUAAUUCGAAACCAUGAAUAUAUUUGUAAUAUGAAUUGAUUACCUUCGGUUGUGAUUUCAUAAGUUGUGAUUUCAAUUUACUUAUCCGUUCGUAUAAAAACUGAUUUGUGUAUGUUGGUUGAGAGUGCACGCUUAAUUUACAUGCAUGAAUUUGAUGCUAGAAUAUAAGUGAAUUUCACCUAAUCGUUAUGAACUUAUUUUCACAAGUAGUAAAGGUUGCUAGUCACAAUCACGUUAAGUAAAUUCUUGGCAAGAGUAUCAUGCUUUUCAUAGUUACGAAUGCCUCGUCAAUGCUUAUAGUUUUCACAAAGUUUAAUGAUCUUUGAUUGUAUCGCUAUUGUGCUUUUCACGUAGGGGACUUUUGAAGAAUGUUUUGAAUUGUUGUAUGCGUUUUUCCGUCCAAUUCAAUAACUUAAGGAAAACUUGAAGAUUAAAAAAGUGCUAUUCACGGUUAAUCUGGAGUAUUGAGAUUCAAAAUUUAUUAAAUGAACAACUGGAAAUCAUUUUGUAUGCAAGUAUAACAUGUGUGGAGAAUAACCCUCUAGCUAGUCCGUCAUUUAUCUUUUCAUUUUAAUUUCAUGUUUUUGUAAAUUCUGUAAUUUAAUUAAGUUUAAUUUACUUUUCAUCAAAACCAAACACCCAUCCAUUGUUAAAUUAUAUUAUUUAGUUAGUUUUCUUUAUUGUUAGUCUUUUAAUUUAAUUUCCGUCCAUUUCAGUUCCUAGUGUUUAAUUUGAUUGUUUUCAUUAUUUUGAGUCAUUCUAAGUGUGUUUCGAGUUAUUAGAGUUUUUAGCCUAGUUUUGUGUCCUUGAGUCUUGUUUAAUAUUUUUAAUAGAUUAGCAAUCCCUCCUAAUCCCCGGCCUAGAACGAUACCCUACUUACAUCUAUACUAUAAUUGUCAAAAAGAGGGUUUAAUUUUGUGUGUUAACUUAUUUUACGCAUCAAAUUUUGGCGCCGUUGCCGGGGAUUAGUAACUUUGCUAAUCCUUUUAUUUUUGUUUUUGUUUAUGUUUAUAUUGGUGUUUGUGUAUUUUACUUUUGAUAUUUGAUUUAUUUUUCUUUCUUUGAUUUUAGGCACAAAUGGAGCUGAGGGAAAUUUAAAGGAAAGAUGCGUCCGGCUAAAGACGUUAAAUCAAGCGCUUCUUGGGAGGCAACCCAAGCAUUCAACGAAGGGAGACUUUGGAAUCGCUAACCCAAUCAGAUUUGCAUUUUUACACCCUUAUCUUUACUGCUUUCAUUUUGUUUUGUUUAGUUAGUUGUGUUAUUUGUUUGAUUUCUGUGAGUUUGUGUUAUUUAGUUUAAGUAUGGGGGAAGGUUAACCAAAGUCUUUCUACUUUAAUUUACAUAAAAAAAAAAAAAAAAAUUAAAAAAAAUGAUAUAAUAAAAAAAAAAAAAAAAAAGAUAAAAUUUAAAAUUAAUGAUAAAAAAAAAAAAAAAAUUACAUAAAAAAAAUUAAAAAAAAAUAAAAAAAAUUUAAAAAAAAAAAUAAAAAAAAAAGUACAAAUAUUUUACAAUGAUGUAAACUAAUAGUAUUCAUUGGUCGGGUGGUGCUUCAGUAGUAGGCGGGGCUUCAGCAGUCGGCGGGGCCACAGAAGGAGGAGGCAGCAGAGGUUGAUCAGUUGGAUCUUCACUACGCGGUGCCGCUCCAGAAGACGAAGGCAGAUGCGGUUGGAACAAACCCACAAACCUCCGAUGAUCAAGUAAAAUUUGACCAUCGGUGUCCUGCAUCUGGUCAAUCUUCCUCUUCAUGUUGGUAGCAUAGCUGUGUGCGAGCUUGUGCAAUUCCUUAUUCUCAUGCUUGAGCCCUUUAAUCUCUUGCUUGAGACUCUGUAUUUCAGCCACCAAGGAUUCAACGUGACGGGUUCGGGCAUAUAGGCGUUGGGCCAUGUUGGAUACGGAACCCGCACACUGCACGCUAAGAGCCAGAGACUCCUUAACCGCCAAUUCAUCAGAUCGUCUAGCGAGCAGUCUGUUAUCUCUUGGGGUGACAAGGUUCCGGGCCACCACCGCGGCUGUCAUAUCAUUUUUCAUCACCGAAUCCCCCACGGUAAGGGGACCGGUAGGGGAUAUGAAGGAUGGGCGCCAUAUGUUGUCUGGUGAAGGCGGAGCUGCCUCUUCACCAAUGUUCAAGUCAAAACGACGAUCGGAAGGGCCAGACAUUUUUCAGAGGUGGUGAAGAAAGAAGAGAGUCGGACUGAUUAAGAUUUUGGAAGUGCAAGAAGGGAGUGUUUACAGGAGGAAGCUCAAGUGUGUUGUGGAACAAAAUUAACGCCUCUAUAAAAAGAAGAAAUCAGAGAGGCGCUCCUCAGAAAUCGAAGAAGCGUCCUCUCGCAAAUCGAAGAGUCGGGGCUCCGUUCUCAAAAGCCGGAUUCUUUUCUCAAAAGAGGCGUUGCAUUUCUCAAAAGCUGGGCUUGCUCAGAAACCACGAGCCGAAUCCCGGAUUUCAAAAGAUCAAUUUGUCCAGACGUGUCGUCACUUGUCACACGUAAAUUGCUUUGCGAAAAUCUCGGGCAGUUUGUCGAAGCACCAAUUCAGAAAUCGAAGAGGGAAAUUCAACAGUUAAAGACACGCUAGCUUUCUCAAAAGCUGGGCUUCAACCCACGGGCAAAUCUUCUUUUCCAGAUUUAUCCGCACGUGUCACAUGCUACCUUUACAAUCGACGAUGCUCAGAGCUCGAAGCGCCGAUUCCAGAUAUCAAUGAGGAAUCUGCUUUGCGGAAAUUACGGGCAGCUUUGUCAGAAAGCGCGUAAUUUGUACUAUUCAUCCAUCCACCGGCUGCCGACAAUGAGUGAGAGAACAGUUCCGGUUGUGAAGACAAGUCCUAUAAGUUUCUACCUUCGCCUUCCACAGCAAAAGCACACUCUCUCAGCACACCCUUUUAACACUUCUUCAUAUCCGAAAAUGCAUUCCCAAAGAAUCCUCUCGAGUCACUCUGUGUUCCUCAUUCCUUGGGAUACUCCUGCGAACAACCCAUUCAAAGCAAAAGUAUUUCAUAUCAUAAAGGUUGAAAGCAAGAGUAUCUCAUAUCAUGCUUUCUCCAUAUCCUUCUCCUUGUCUUUGUUUUCCGACAAGGAGAAAGAGAGCAAUCAGCCAGCAUUUGGUAUCAAUCUUCCGAUCUGGAGCCAACUGCCUGGAACCCCUUCCUGAUUGCUUACCUAGCCUUGCUCUCGAGUACUCAUCUUCAUCAUUUUAUGCUUUCUCUUCGUCUACCACAUCUGCCUGGGGGACAGUAAGGGAAGUGAAAAUGAUACCUCGAAGCAUGUGGAGACAAUUCAGCUAGGAACAAGGAGAAAGAAAGCAAAAGGUGGGCACUUGGAAAGAUUGAAGAAAGAAAUAAGGACCAACACCUUUCCCUUGUGCCUGCCCGUUGUGCAGAAGAAACAAGCAGAGAAGAAUGCAGCUUGCACAAUCAUCCCAGCGGAAGGAGUCCGAACUGAGGAACUAGAGAAGCUGCCACAUCUGCUUGGAGAACAAAUAAGGAACUGCAACAUUCCCAAAGAGCAAAGCUCCGCCGUACAAUAUCAUCAAAUAGUAAAAAGCUAAGUGUCACCCUGUUCAAGAGGAAAGCUGUGGAAAGUCAACAAGCACGACCAAUGAUUACUUAUUAGUUUUAUUCAUUAUCUUUUAUCGUAAUUUUCAAUUUUUCGUUUGCAAUUUUUUUUUUUAAUUAAUUUUCUUGCGUACUUAACUGAAUUAUUUCUUUUCUUUGCAGGAACUUUUGGUUAUUUCCACCCUUGAAGUUGAUUGCAGAAUUUUAGCUUGGGGGUCAUCGCUUGAUUUUACUGCAAAUUAGGGAAGUUUUCAGUCCCAUUGUUUUAUUUUGUUUCUUAUUAUUUAUUUAUUUAUUUUAUUUUUAUUUGCGUUAUAGUGUUUUCUGACAUUGGGGACAAUGUCAAGUUUAAGUGUGGGGGUAGAAAUCUCUAGAAUUUCAUUUGUUUCUGUGUUGUUAGUUUUUGUUUUCUUAAAAAUAAAAAAUAAAAAAAUAAAAAAAAAAAAAUCCAAAAAUUUAAAAAUCCAAAAAUAUUGUCUUGUUUCCCUUAUUGUUCUGAAUCAGAUUUUUGUUAGUUUCCCGACCCAAUGAUAUAAUUGGAUCAAAAAUUUGAACCAUGAUCAUCAAGAACUUAGUUAACAUGUGUUUGGUGAAAUUCCUAAUUCUCUUGUUAGUUUUGUACAUGUUUGACCAUCUUUGAAAAACCAAAUGCACAUAGCCUUGUUAAUGUGAAACUAAAGUAUGACUUAAAGCUUCAUAUGUGAAUUUAGUGACCAUAUACAUCCUAUGUGAGUUUUUGAGCCUAUUGAAAGUGUGCAUUUUUCAUACACUCCUAUUCUUUCAUGUGUGAUGAACUUAUGUGAGAUACAUCUCUAGAACUUGCGUAACGAUCUUUCGAAAUGUUUGUCAUUGAUUGCAUGAACUUGGAAAUGAUAGAGACAUUAGGUUUACCACUAUGGCCCAAAUAACUAUGUUUCCCAAAGAAAAAUGAUAUCAUUAGAUUGCCAAUUUGAGCCGUGUAUGUUGAGCCUUUUAUUUCUUAUCACCAGAUAUGUCUACCCUUAUGCCUGAAACAUUUUUUUCCUUACCCUUUCCAAGUGAGCAAUGUGAGAUUGUCUUAUGAGAAAUGUUUGUGAAGUACUUUGAAGGUGUUUGGCAAAAGAAUAAGUGUGGGGGUAUUUCAUGUUUGUAUAAAAAAAAAAUAAAAAUAAAAAAAAAAUAAAAAGAAGAAAAAAAGAAAAGAAAAAGAAAGAUUGUAUACAAAGAAAAUAAAAAGUUUUUAAAGUUUCAGUUUAAGGGUAUGGUUGGAGGUGCUAGAAGAAUCGCUGAAAAAAUUGAGUUCUUAUAAAUCUAAACAAAAGAAUUGCUUGCAAUAUAGCUUGGAACUUGUGUUUUCCUAUUCUUUCAUUUCAAUAACCCUAUCCCUAAGCCUCAUUACAUCCAAUAAAAGUCCUCUUGAUUUAAGUUUUGCAAUUAUGACUGUGGAGAAGUGAUCUUUAUGCAAGCUUAUGGUAGAAAUUUCACAUUUGAUUCUUUGAGCGAAACACAUUAAAACUAAACACAUGUGUGAUUGAGUGCAUAUCCCGUGAGAAGGUCGCUAGUUUGCAUAUGAUGAUUUUAAAAAUAAAAACUUGAAAAUUGCAUUAGCAUGGCUAUCUCACACACUACACUUCAAGGAUGAUUUAAAGAUUACUGCUAAUAUUUGAAUAAGGAAGAUGAACUUGGAUUAUUUCCUUGAUGCUAGCUAUGGUUCUUGAUGAUUUGUUUUUCUCGAAUGAAAUUCUAUGAGGGUCACAUAGGGGGAAGCUAAUGUUUUUCUUGUUACUUCUUGUUCUAGUUUUCUUUGUUUUGCUCGAGGACUAGCAAAAGUUAAGUGUGGGGGUAUUUGAUCGGAUGAUAUUUAUAUAUAUUUUUACUUCGAAUUCACUCGUCUUUUCUUAGUUAGUUCUUUAUAUAUUUUUGAGCUAUUUACGUUAUUUUUGUGUUUAUAGGAUUUGUUAUGCAAAGAAAAUAAAAAUAGAACAAGUGAAAUUUUAUGUAAUAAAUUCGUCAAAACUGUCUGUGUAGAUCAGCUUUUAAAUAAAAUUAAAAAUAAAUAUAUAUAUAAUAAUAAUAACAAGUCAUGAUGAUGUUUGAAACAUCAUCAUGAUUCAUGUUUUUUGUAGAAGAAGAAAGGAACGGCAAAGAAAAAAGAAAAGAAAGAAAAGAAAAAAGAAAGGAAAAGGAAAAGAAGGAAAAGGAAAAGAAGAAAAAAAAAUAUAAACAAGCAGAAAAAGGGAGAGAGAAGCAGCAAGCAGACAGCUGCCUUGCGGCAGCAGAAAGAGGAUAGAGAGAAGUGGGAGCGGGAAAAGUCAGUGGAAAGCAGGAGAGACAGCUGGGAGCGCAGUAGGCGCAGAGAAUGUGGUGGACAGCAACAGAAAAAAAUAAAAUAGAAAAAAAAGAAAUAAGGAGGAGGUCAGGAGCAUGAGGAUAUAGACGGGAUUGGCAGAAGAGAGAAUAAGGGGGGGAAUUGGUGGAAGGCAGAGGGCUGCCCUUUGGGCAGCGUGAAGCUGCGGAGAGAAGGGAAGUCAGUGGCGAGGAGGACAGGAGGUCAGCAUGAAAAUGCAGUUCAGAGUCCAUGCAGUUCAGAGUCCAAGCAGCAGAUCCUUUCUUUCGGUUUAAUCUUUCCAAACUCCUAUUUUAUUUUUAUUUUAAUAAUGUGUAAUUAAUUUUAUUUUGGCUAGAGGUUAAUUCGAAACCAUGAAUAUAUUUGUAAUAUGAAUUGAUUACCUUCGGUUGUGAUUUCAUAAGUUGUGAUUUCAAUUUACUUAUCCGUUCGUAUAAAAACUGAUUUGUGUAUGUUGGUUGAGAGUGCACGCUUAAUUUACAUGCAUGAAUUUGAUGCUAGAAUAUAAGUGAAUUUCACCUAAUCGUUAUGAACUUAUUUUCACAAGUAGUAAAGGUUGCUAGUCACAAUCACGUUAAGUAAAUUCUUGGCAAGAGUAUCAUGCUUUUCAUAGUUACGAAUGCCUCGUCAAUGCUUAUAGUUUUCACAAAGUUUAAUGAUCUUUGAUUGUAUCGCUAUUGUGCUUUUCACGUAGGGGACUUUUGAAGAAUGUUUUGAAUUGUUGUAUGCGUUUUUCCGUCCAAUUCAAUAACUUAAGGAAAACUUGAAGAUUAAAAAAGUGCUAUUCACGGUUAAUCUGGAGUAUUGAGAUUCAAAAUUUAUUAAAUGAACAACUGGAAAAUCAUUUUGUAUGCAAGUAUAACAUGUGUGGAGAAUAACCAUCUAGCUAGUCCGUCAUUUAUCUUUUCAUUUUAAUUUCAUGUUUUUUGUAAAUUCUGUAAUUUAAUUAAGUUUAAUUUACUUUUCAUCAAAACCAAACACCCAUCCAUUGUUAAAUUAUAUUAUUUAGUUAGUUUUCUUUAUUGUUAGUCUUUUAAUUUAAUUUCCGUCCAUUUCAGUUCCUAGUGUUUAAUUUGAUUGUUUUCAUUAUUUUGAGUCAUUCUAAGUGUGUUUCGAGUUAUUAGAGUUUUUAGCCUAGUUUUGUGUCCUUGAGUCUUGUUUAAUAUUUUUAAUAGAUUAGCAAUCCCUCCUAAUCCCCGGCCUAGAACGAUACCCUACUUACAUCUAUACUACAAUUGUCAAAAAGAGGGUUUAAUUUUGUGUGUUAACUUAUUUUACGCAUCAGCGAGCAUCAACUUUAGCCCAUCAUUUAUGUAUCGAGGAGCGAGCCCUUAUUCUAUAAAAGGGACUCCCUCACCUUCAACGCCACAAGCCGAGCCAACCAAGGCAACAUAAGCCACAAGCCGAGCAGCCUCGCAACAUGUGCUACUUCUAGUUGAUCAUCAUUUCACAUUGAGCAUCGCCUCAUAUCGAGUAUCAAUUCUAGACGACAUCUAGUUACUUCGGCCCACACAUGGACUGAAUUUCAAGUCUCCAGCUAAAAGACUCUUUUGACUGAAGACUUGGGGGACUACUGUUUGUACCAUAUUUAGGGUCUCCGUAUUUAGACCUCGUAUAAAUACUCGGGAGACUCAAAUAUAAUGUAAUAAAUGAAGGGGCAAAUAUGUAAUAAGUGAAGAGCUCUUAUUCUAUAAAAGGACUCCUCAUUCUUCUCAUUAGGAGAGGUCAAUGUUUAGGCCAUGGGUAGAGAGAAAACAUCUCAGAGAGGGCAAACACAGAAAAUAGGCUAGAGAGCACACUACCUCUAGCCUUCUUGUACAUUCACCAUUUAGAGUGAAACAAUAUCAACAUCAGUGUGGAAGUAGCCCAAACAUUGGGGUAAACCACGAUAUAUCUUGUGUUCUUUACUUUCUUGUAUAUUCACGGUCGGAUUUACGUUGUUCUAAGACCCCUUCGAUUUUGUGCAUUAACACAUCAUAAUCCCGGAUAAUAUAUGGAGACGCUUGAGAAGGGGAGGAUUGAAACCAUCAUUGUUCGGCCAUUUUUCUAAAUUUUGUAAUCUCCCAACAAUGAUCCAUGCAAAAAGGAUGUCGUACCUUCUCAUGUUACAUUUUUUUUUUGCAUUAUUUAUCUAUGCAUGAUAUUUUUUUUUUUUAAGAAAAGGUUUAAGUUAGCUCACAAAAAUGAAACAAGUAAUUUGUGCAAGUAACUAGUAAAAAUAUAAUUAAAUAAUAUCACCUUAUCUGACAGACCCCGACCUGGGAUGUCCACUAAGAUUCCGAAUCGAGUUGUGAUGGCCGACACCUGGAAGGUGACGAAAGCCAUCAAGUGUAGUGAUGUGGAAAAUGUGAAUAAAUUUAAAACCUAAAAGUGCUUGAAUACAAGAGAGCGAUGUGAGAGGGAAUGAACCCAAUUCACAUGUGAUGAUAGAGCAUAAGUACAGUACAGUAAAACAGGGUGAGAAAUUAUACCAUCAAAGGUAACUGUCCACCCUAAGAUUUGCCAAGAAUCCUCGUCGGCACGAGAGCAUAGCUACUAAACCUGGAGGGGCGAAAAACAAGGGUGAGUGGGCCUAAAAAUAAAGUUUUAAUUAAAAACCUUUUGAAAAUGUUAUAACCCCUCACCGUAAAACAUGUAUAGUUUCUAAAAUAUACAUACUAUGUAUAGUAUGAAAAUACUUACCGUAGCUUGCAAAACGUAAAUAAGGCAUGCUAUCCCAAAAUCCCAAAAUCUCCACAGUAAUAUAAGUAAAAUUAGGUGCUCAAUACCCUAUGCUAGCACAUUAGUCGGAGUCGCCUAAUGUGACCUAUAUGACUGAACCUGUUGCUCAUCCAUCUAUGCUGACACACGGGUCAGAGUCACCUAAUGUGACCUGUACGACAGGACUAGGUGUAAUAAUAUACGUUCUAGUGCUACAAUCACGUGAAGACUAGCGUUAUUCACUGUCACAUACGAGUCGGAAUUGCAUAUUCCAAUCUGUACGAAAGAACUAGCACCUACUUGGAUCCAAGGCGAGCGUGCGGUGCUGAUGCGAACAACACGUGAAAGACUAGCCUGGCCCUAGGUUGAGCAUUAACACCUAGGUGUAGCAAUGAUGAGUAUACUAUAUAAAUAUAAGCAUGCCAUAACCAUUCAAUAAUUUUAAUCAACAUACUAUCAUUCAUAGCCGUAAACAUAAUUAUGACAUCAAUAAUCAUACCAUACAUGUGCAUCCCGUAGGAUGUAGCAUAUUUCAUAAGUUCCGUCAUUUCACUGACUCUUAUAAACUUUAGUCAAAUCCAGGCGUACGUAAGGAAUUCUUUUUCGAUUGCAUAAAUGGAAACUACCAAUCAUAUAUAUAUAUAUAUACACACACCACACACUAUAAAAAGGAAAAGACCCACUCACCUGGAGUCGGCAUUACAACUCCCUAGCACGAAUAUCAAUGCGUCACGAACGAUCAUCGCCUAGAACAAUUAUCAAAUCAUGUCUCAUAAUUCUUAUCAAUAGAAUGUAACUUACAUAAAACAUAUCCCCAAGGACGUUCUAAAAUGAUUGAAACCCAUUGACCAAAAAUCAAUUGUUGGUCAAAGGUCGACGGCAGGGUCCACAACCCUACAUAACUCGAUCCGGAAGAUCCACACCUCAGAAUUCUGAUUCGUAACUUCCAAAGAUCCAUAUUAUGCUUCUAGACCAUCAUUCUAAAGUUUCAUUAUGAUCCAACGGUUGAAUCUCCGCUAAUUGCAAAUUCAAGUGACAGUUAAUGUUUUAUUUUAUGAGCUUACAAAUCCAAUUCGGGAAGAUCUGUACGUCGAAUUCCCGAUCUGUAAGUUUCUAAUAUCCUCAAAUAUUACAUACUAUAACGUAUGAAAGUUUGGUGACAAUCCAAUGGUUGAAUCAUUGAUUCAUAUAAGGAUCAAGUGACGGUCUCUAUCAAAACUAUGUUCAAACGAUAAGAUUUCAUCAAUUGGACUUCACCUAUGGAAUUGGGGUAUCAAACUAAGCCUAGGAAGGUCGGGGGGUGCCUCGGCCCACCCGCCGCCACACACGGCGAUCGACCGCCCUGACUUGCCGAAAAAUCAACUAUUUCUAAAAAGUAUCAAACUUCACAGAAAUGAAGAUUUCAAUGAGUAUAGCAAGUUUUAUACAUGUGGCCAAGUCCAAUUUGGCGGAAAAAACCUCAAAUCGCAACAAACCCGUUGGAAACCCCAUAAUGGGUGUUCGUCGAUUCGACUUCUCCGGUGUUCCAACGCCCCUAUCACCGGUUAGGUCUUGUUCCUGGGUCUAAGGGGAGUUGAUUAAGGGUAGUGGUAGGUGGUGAAACUCGCCGGAUCGAAGGAAUCACCGUCGAGCACCUCCGGUGCUCCGAUGAGGUUCUACACGAUUUUGGACCUAAAACCUUUGAAUUUGGGUAGAGAUGGUAGAGGGAAGGUUGAGGAAGAGGUUGUAGGUGAUGGAUGGUGAUGAUUCGACGGAAAGAAUGGCGAAAAUAGCUAGAAUGGAGUCGGGUUGGUGCACGGGUGCACAUGCGACAGGAAGGUUGGGCUUUCCCUUUUUUAUUAGUUGUUGCCCUCUUUUCUCAAAUUCUGAUUAGUCCACCACUCUUUUAUCUGAUUGGUCACUUAACCAAUAAUCUGAUUGGCCUCUUUCUCACAAGGUGGGAGUUUAAUUCAUUUCUAAUCUAAAAUUUAAUAAAACAACUUCAAAUGUCCGUAACUAUACCGUUAAAACCCGGAUUCGCAAACGGCUUUUGCCUAUGUGCUCAUAGUGACAAGUAUUACGAGGAUAUGCUAAAAUAAUGAGUCAUACGUCUCUUUAACCGAUGGUCAACGAAAGUCAAAAUAUUUGCCUCUAAGGGCAUUUUCGAAAAAUCACUAUUUUAAAAUUUAUAAAACUUAAAAUUUGGGACGGGUUGUUACAUUAUCGAAAUCACUUGUCCCACUUUCUUGUGACACGCUCACUAAAUUUGGUAAAUUUUGAGUUGUUUGUAUUAUACCAUUGAGAUCUAAGACUUUUAGCACCUCAUUUUUCUCCUAUGUCAGCCAUGAUUUUGUUGAAUGCCUCAAAAAUGCGUUCCCAAAAUUUCAUCAAAGCUUGGCCAUUUCUAAUAAUAGGAUAUUCACUAAUUGCUUUAAAAUCAUAACAUAGAGCAACAUUGCUUCAACUGAGUAAUUUCCACCCUUGGUUGGAGCCUUCCUUGAACCCACCAUUGAUGGAUAAAAUAAAUCAACAAAAAGAACAAAUUAAAUUGUAUGAAAUGAGAGAAUUGAGUAUAGAAAAUGAAGUUGUGGUAAAUUUUGGUUAUAUGAAAAUGGUAUUUAUAUGGACCAUUGAUCAUAAGCAAUGGUAAGAACAAAAACUCAUAACCUUAAAAUAAUGUACUUAACCAGGGGUAUCAUAGUUGCCUGAAGGCACAUCCAUCACUCGAGGGUAAAGUUGUACGACACUGGGUUACGCCAGUGAAGAAAUAUGGUAGGUCCCAUCGCCGAAGGUGAAAUUGUACGACUCUGGGUUAUGCCAAAGGAAAUGUAACAUAACACAUUGACACUAGCCGUGGCUAGUGAAGCUGUUCGACACUGGUUUCACCAGUGAAGCUGGGAAUAUGUCAUAAAUAUCUCACUACUCAUAUACUGUGUCUUAUGGCCGUAGACAUAUACAUACUCGUGUUGUGUGUAUGUGUGGUAUGAUUACCCAUUAAUAAGCAUAGAAAACAUAAAUCACAUUCUCGUAUCAAAUCAUCGGAGUUCAAAAGCUCAAAGCAUCAUCUCAUAAACCAUAUUCAUUGAUCCAUCUCGAAAGGCGUAAAAGCAAUAGCUCAUAAAUCUUUGUAAGAUGUAAAUUCAAUAAAUCAGAAACAUUUCAUAAAACAUAAGUUUGAUAAAUCAUAAAUGUUUGGGAAAAUUGAGUGUGGAUUUGGAAUCAGGGCAUCGAAAUACCCCAAAGAGGGGUCUCAGGCAAAUUUCAUAAAAAGUCAACGAAAAAGUCAACCGAGUCGCCAAGGCAGUCAACUACGUUAAAACUUCAUAAUUUCACUAAAUGGAUACUAAAAAUGGACUAGGGGCAUCAAAAUUAGUCUAGAAGGAUUCCCUAGAAAAUUUUGUAAAAGCCAACACAAGGAAUAUUCAGUUGCUGGUAGCCGAAAUCUGGGUAAACUUGCCUGAUUUUUCGGAAAUUUUUUCAAAUAGCCAUAUCUCUCUCAUUUCUCAUCCAAAUUCGACCCAUAAUAUAUCAAAACGAAGCUAGAGAAGAGUAAAACAAGAUUAUACCUAUUUAGAAGCCAAAAAAUGGUCGGAGUUGGCUGGUAAAUGCCUGCAAAAGUCAUGGUUCUCAUAAAAAAACUAGGGAAAGUUCAAAUUGAUAUAACUUCUUCAAUGCUUAACAAAAUCGAGUGAUUCAAAAAUGAAAAUCAUACCUCUCUACGAAACGAAGAGAAUGGUACCUUUCUUGAUGGCUAACUCACCAUGGAUUGACUAAAAAAUGGCUCAGAAGCCGUCGGAUCCUUCGUAAAAAAGCUAUGGAAGAGUCCCUUUGCCGUUUCUGGGUUCAUGGGUCGCCAAAGUGCAAGGGAGGUGAUGGUGGUGUUUGUUGCUGUUGUUGUGAUUGUAUGAGAGAGUGUGUGGAUGUGUGUGUGUGCUCAGAGAAUAAGAGAGAGUGCAGAGAGAUAAGGGAGAGAGAAAGGGAAAGAGAGUGAAGAAAGAAAAUGAGUGACGGGAAGAGAGGGAACUGGGGAACAAUGAAACAUAUGUGGGCCCUGGUGGCUCAUAUAACAAGGCCAAAAUAGACAAAAUAGGAAAAUAUCCUGCGAACGUAAAAUUAUUGAAAUACCCUUAACGUUUCGCAUUCUGUAAAAUUAAGGACGAGUUAUUACAUCAUUUUUCUAAAUGAAUGUCACCAAUGGGGCUUUUGAGCUUUUUAUGCGCCCACAAGCUUAUAUGUGUUUCACCUCAGUACUAUUUACUUCGAAGUUAGCUUACUUCUGAAAGAUUGACAGAUUAAACUAUAUUAUGCAAUUAGGAAGCAAAUGAUGAAAAACUCCAAGUGUUUUUACUCUAACAGUGAAAUUGAUUUUACCAGCACGAAUUACCCCUCAAUAAUUAAAUUUGGAAUCAUAUUGUCAGCGACCAACAACCUCACUUCUAGGAUGCUAAUUAAUCUCUAGAAACACGAGCUUUUUUAGGUAUGACCAAUUCCCAAUCAAGACUAGUCAAGUGAAACGGUAUUAAUUCUUCCACCUCUCUUUAGCCGAAUAAUCAUAGACACGUUCACUAUUCAUUUCUUAAGUUUUUCGCUUGGGUGACUAUGUUGCAUGUUUACCUUUUGCGGAUUUGAUAAUAUAUUCCUAUCACCCACCUCGUCUCAAGCCCUGCGUGAAGAGAUCUGGAGUAAUUUUGAGAUCGAUUAUCUAUUUAAUAAAUCAUCUCAAGUUGUGCAACUUCGUUUGUCAUGUUAUAUCCCUCUCGACAUACGAAUAUUACACAAGUCACUUUUUAAAGGAUAGCAAAACACAUAAGUUAAGGUCACUACGAAGAAAACCAUUUCUCCAUAGUUACCAAUAUGAGUUUUUUCAUCGCCCCGGCUUGGAUUUUCCCUUAUAAUUGAGCUCUAGGAUUAAGAAAUCACAUGAACGUAGGUUUGAGAACUACCUGACUUGAAUAUUGAUGUUCAACUUGAGAAGUUGUUCAUGUGCUAUUUCUCUUCACUCUUUUAUACGCUUUUUUCCGUCUUUGUUAUUUAGUUUAUUGCUCGUGUGCUAUCUUUUUCCUUUUCUCCAUAUGACAAUCUUUGACUGAUUAAUAAAAAUAAUUUUCUAAUAGAAUGUAAAAAUAGUUUGUGUCCUUGAGUGCGGCCAUUCCUGAUGAUGGCCGUAGAUAGGAAGCCCAAAGGCUGAAUGAUUAGGCGGGUUUACAUAAAGAUCAUAAAGUAAGAGUUUAGAGCGCCAAAUUCACGGUGUAACGGCGGCAGGAUUUUUUCACGUACUUCCUUUCAUUUUGGAGGUUGGAGAUGUUAUAGUGCAAAAAGGGGAAAAAAUAAAAAUCUAAAACCAAAAUUCAAAUACUCGUGCAAUAUGCGAGAGUCGGUACUCACUGGGAGUCUUGUGAACUCCGCACUCUGCAACUCUCUGACGUUUCCUUCCAACAAUGGCUUGAGGACGACGGUCCUUGAUAUUGACGCAGCCGAAGAAUUCGACUCUCUGCGAAGAGACGCGUCCAGAAACUCGCUCAGCAACGCGUCAACUCCGCUUCCACUUAGUUGUUCUUCGUCCAUCCUCCUCAUCAUUAAUCCUAUUACAGUGACCGAAUCAAAACCGCCAGUGUCCUGCACCAGUCUUUCUUGCCAGAACAAUGACAUCAACAACUGCAAGCUAUCCGUGAGUUCUCUCCCUGCUCCCAAACCCGUUUCUCGUAAAUUACUCUUUUACCUACAGAGGUGUAUAAAAUCGUCAUUUUCCCAUCUAUUGUCUUAUUUUAAGAGUAUCUAGGGAUUUAGUGAUCCUAAUAAUUGAAGUGUUCCUCUUAUUUUCUUGAAUAAUCGAAAUUGAUUAACUAUGUUUUUCUUUGAUUUUUUUGAAUAAAAUUUAAAAAUUUAACCUUUAUCUGUGUAAAUGUUUGUUUUGAAUAUGCAACCAAUGACACAGGUAGCACCUUUGUUCGAACAGAUACUUUAGAUUUAGUGUACCUCAUCAGCCCAUGUAAACUCAACUCGAAUUUGACCACCACCUUACCAAUUAUCCUUUACACUUUACUUCCGAAGUUCUCUGAAAACAUUUCUCUUUUUGCUGUUUAAGUGUUAAAAAUAACCUUUCCAAGAAAAAGUAGCUGUAUUGUAUAACCAUAUUAUGACAUGCUUCAUCUCGCUAUGCUUACUUUUAUCGAGCAUGAUAGUGGUCUUAAAAAGGACUUAUGCUUUUAUACUUUAAUAGUUCUUCACUUUGAAUAUCGAAAACGAAUCAAGGAUUAAAUGCCCCACCUUGACAAGAUCACCAAUGGAUUAAUUUUCCAUUCUUCACUUUGAAACCUUUUCAAUGUCUAUUUUAUUUCGGCCUGGUUAUGCAUUCUCUUCUACCUUGCUGAAUUCUUAUAGUUAGGUUACUGGCUAACUUCUAGGCUACCUAUCUCUAUCUCUUGUUACUCUUUUCUAUCACAAGAAUAAUUAGGGAAACGACAAAAGAAUUAACCGAAGAAUCACGCUGGUUACAUAUUUUAUUUUAUGCUCAGCGGAAAUAAUUGCUGCAAAAUCAAUUUUCCUUCUUGAUCCAAGUGUCAUUUUUUGGCAUGUUUAAGAAUGUACAUUGCACCAGACACUUGUUCUAAACUCUCUGUUUUACGUAUCACCAUUAUUAUUCCAUGUUUGGUCACCAAAGCGUUUACCUAUGAUCAGUACGGUCUAAGUUCGAUCCAAACAUAUCCCACUCAAUACGCCACUGGUAUUGCAAAAGUAGAAUCGUGUUUAUCCCUACUGAUUGUCACCUUCCACCCAAGCCACUUGGAAAAUGCAUUAUUGUUUCUCUUCAUAUUCUUUGUAUGGACCUUUUGAGAAACGUGGACAUUUGUGGGAUGAAGCCCCAGGCAGACUUAAUAGUGCUUGAAACUGCAGGUUAUGGAUGUUUCCUAACCUUCUUUAGUCAUUCUGCAGAGAAAGUUCUUAUGAGACAUCUAGUGUUAUGUGAGGUAAUAACUGUUGCCCUUUCUAGAUUGUUUACUUCGCACUGGUCGUCUUAUGAUACAUUUAGUGGUUUACGUUUUAAAUUGGCACCUCUUUGAUUAUUUGACAUAUCACAAUUCUUUAGCGUUUGUGUUUGAAUGUUCACCAAAAUGUUGUAUUGGCUUUUCCAACUUUGUUCAUCAAUUUGAUACAUUGUUAAAAAAUCUGUUACACUAAGAAGUACUCUCUCCUUGUCCACCGUGCUAUUGCUGACUUGGCCAUCUGUUGUUCCGACCUCGAGGUAAAGGUAUACGCUAGGUUAUUUAGUAUCAGUUUCAGUUUGGAUGCAUAAUGUGAUAUUGUUGGUAUGAGUUGUCCUUUCUUUUGCCAAGUCAGUUUUUUCGUGUGGGUUUUUUACAUAUUAUGAAGUGAUAAAAAUCUUUGCAUAACAUAGCCAAAUUGGUGAAAAAAGAGAUUAACAGAAAAUAGGCUACAAGUAUGUCUUCUAUGUUUUAGAAUGUAAGCUCCGUGAAGGUAAUAUUGGUGCUCAUAUUAUAGGUAUUUUUUCCAGUUCAGAAUUGUGUUUAGUAGUGACAGGUCUUCUAAAUUUCUACAACAUCUUUCAUAUUUUUCUUCUAAACUUUUAGCAGUGUUAUUUUUUUAUGUUGGUUUCUAUGUGUUAUAUUUAGUGUCUUCAUGUCCAGCCCAACAAUAAUUGAGAAUCAAUAGCAUACGCUAGUUGUAUUGAAUCGCUGAAUAGCUCUUUGUGUGGCCAUGAUUUCAGCGAGUAGGUGUUAGGUAUAUUUAAAUCUGCAUAGGAUACUCUUCCUCUCAUUUGUAGGAGUGUUAUAUGCAAGACUGUGUGUGAUAUUAUUUACAUUUUCUUUCUGGUGGUCCUGAUAGUGUUGACGGAUAUAUACUCUCAUUUUGUUCACACCCAUGAAUAUUGGAAUUUUGCCUUUUAAUGUGUGAUCAAUUUUUCACUCAAUUAAUAUCUCUCUCUUCUAAUGUUUUAAUAAUUUAUUGCAGGCGACGGCGGGGAGCCCGUCUCUCCCGCAGUAUGAUAAAUGGGAUGGUGCAAAAGACUUGAGCAAGUAUAGGAAUUUCUUCGAUGUGUCUUGACUUCUUUUCCUGUACCAUUGAGUCAUAUUUAAAGAGUCCUUUCAUAGAACCUAGGUGCCCUAGUGGCAUUUGAGUACCUUUCUACUGUUUAUACAAGUCUUUGGCUGGGUUCAUUGAUCCUUUGACAUACCAGGUCGCUAUUUGUGUAGGUUUAUUAAUUAAAAGCGUGUAAGAUACAGUAAGAAAUUGCCAAAAUUAGGACAACAUUAAGGUGGGCGGCUUCUCAUUGAGUCGAUUUAUCUAGGCUAAAUGCACUAUUCUUCUUCAAAUGUGAAUAUGGUUAUAUGUGUUGCAAAUGUCAGAAACUUAAUCCAAGAAGUUUUGGAGGACAGAGUAAGACAUUAUAGGUAAGACACUUAUGGCUUAGUAAGUUCAAGUGUAAACUGCGAUUGAGAUCUAUAAGCAAAAUAUAUAUAGAUGUGGAGUGAGACAUUGAUAGGGAGAGAAAGUAGUAGGAGAAAUAUCGGUGGAUGCUCUUAUGUUGUUCAGAGGAACCAUUGCAAAUUGGGAUGUGCCGUCGGAUGGCUUCGUGGGUCGAUGCAGAUUUUUAGCAGCAGAAGAACUAUUAGGUUGAAUUUAAUACAUUAAAGAUCCAAUUCCAGAUCAAUAAGGUUGUAUAAAGAAACACAAUGGUAUAUUUCAUAUUGGGUGUUUCUGAGAAUGGGAAUAACGAGAACGUAUUACAGUAGAGAUGCUUCCAUGGGAUUGGGAAAUUAAUCUGCAAAACCAUUUUCCAAAACUUUUGCCUUAGAUUGGACCUAAUACAAUUUUCUGGCCUAUUGCUGUUGAUCUUGUGUCGUGGCGACUCUUGGCCUGUUCUUUAUAAUACAAUGUGCUCCAAUUGCGUUCAUGCCUCGGCGAAUUGGCCUCAUAAGUGCUGUAUUGAAUUCGUUAGUAGGGAGAGUUAAUUUGCAUAAGAAAUAAUGUAACUCAUUUCUUCUUAAGCAGAUGAUUCGACUUGGGAUGGACAUCGUUCAUCAGAAUAGGUUAACUUGUCUGUUAUGUCGCUAUUUCUUGUCUAAAUAUCUGUCACUUUUUUUAUAUUCAGUAGAUUUGAAUUUAACAGAGUCAGUUCUGAUGCAUUUUUAGUUAUUAUAAUAUAUUUGUUUUGUAAAUUCUUUUCACUUUGAUUGUUUUUUGUCUCACAUGUGGUGGUCAAACAAAAGCGGUUUACAAUUGUAUCCUCACGUAAAUGGACCAUUCAUCUUGAAUGGCCUAGUAACAAUCAUCCCCUAUGAUGUGUCCCCUAAAUACAGAAUCUACUAUUGGCAUCAGUUUAAAUAGGAUAAAACAUCAAUGUAUGUUCCCUUAUACUUUUCUUUUACUAAAAAACACAAUUAUAUUUUUGAUCAUCACUCUGUCGAAUACAGAGUAUGUGGCCGGAAUAUCCUCAUCCACCACCAUUUCUCUAUGUUUUAAAGCCCUAGAUAUUAGAAAUAAUGAUUUUCUAUUAGAUAUGUGGCAAAUGAUUUGGUGUGAAAAGUUCUAAAGCCUGGAGACAUUGAGACAGAACAAUCGGAACUCUGUGUGUCUUCAUUCUUUAUUAUUUUCAAAGGUCAUAAUUAAUAGGUCGUUUAAUUUUUUAGAGAUGCUGUUAUUUACCAUCCAACUCUAUGUUACCUAAAACACAGUCUUUGUGGUACAUUGGAAUGAGAAUGUAAUUUCGUGGUACACCAGUUGCUUUGACUGCAUAGAACCAUUUGCUACUUGUAAAUGGUAGAAUGUGAAUGAAUAAACUAAUACUCUUUUUUUUUUCUGAGUAACUGUCCUUCACAUUUCUAACAAACCUAAGAUAGAAGGUAUGUGUUUUCCAAUUUUUGGGAAGGGAAGAAAAUAUUAACCUAGUUUUCAUUAUGCAGAUUGUAUACUACAAUAACAUUGUUCUUUGAACAUUUCCUCUAGUUUUUCAUGUUGCCAACUGUAAUACUAAAUUUUUCUUUUAGAAACAGUUUGACCUCUUUUAAAUUGACAAAUAGUGUCCAACAUGGUUCAUUAGGAAAUCCUGCCGGUUGUUUUUUUUUUUUCUCUGUUUCCCGCUUCUUGCAUACGCUGCUUCUUUUGAUAUGUUAUUUAACUUCUUUGUUCAGGUUGUGAUUGCAGAUGAGUCACACUUUUGAAAAAAUGCUCAAGCAAAAAGAAACAAGUGCCUGCCUUUCCUGUCAUAAAGGUCUUUCUCUCUUGUGUACUGAAUCUACUGAUGACUAGCUUGCAACUGCCUAACUUUUUUUCUCAGUCCAUUCUUCUAAGCACCUGUCUCAGAGGGACCAUUUUGUAUAUAUGUAUUUUGAGUUGUACUAACAAUAAAUUUUUUGAUGCUUCCUACCUUAACUAGUGACACUGAUGUUUGUCAUUUCUUCCUCUAACUAUGCACUUGAUGGUAAAAGUAGUGAACUCAUGUCUGGUUCAGUGAAUGAAGUUGAUGAAAAAUAUUGGAAACAGUUUUCAACACUUAUAAUUGAAGUUUGCAGCAAGUCAUCAAGUAAACCGGGAUUAUUUAUUCUUAUUCUUGUAGAAGUAUACAGAAAGGAGUAAAAUCUAAGAAAAUUGCUUGAUGAAAGUUUUGAGACAUAUUGGGACCAUUUGUAUAUAUGUAUUUUGAGGUGUACUAACAAUAAGGUAUUUUUGUGAUGCUUCCUACCUUAACUAGUGACACUGAUGUUUGUCAUUUCUUCUCUAACUAUGCACUUGAUGGUAAAAGUAGUGAACUCAUGUCUGGUUCAGUGAAUGAAGUUGAUGAAAAUAUUGGAAACAGUUUCAACACUUAUAAUUGAAGUUUGCAGCAAGUCAUCAAGUAAACCGGGAUUAUUUAUUCUUAUUUCUUGUAGAAGUAUACAGAAAAGGAGUAAAAUCUAAGAAAAAUUGCUUGAUGAAAGUUUUGAGACAUAUUGAUCUCAAUCUCUCCUCUCUAACGUUUUCAACAAUUUCAGAGGGCUCAAUACGCAAUAUUGUUGAGUGGUACUCCUGCUUUGUCCCGACCGAUUGAACUAUUUAAGCAGGUAUUUCUAAACUCUAGUUAAGAAGCUGCAACUACAAGUUAUCUUUAUCUAGAAUCUAAUCAUUUGUUUAUUAAUUUCUUUGAAUUUAAACAGCUUGAAGCCUUGUAUCCUGAUGUAUACAAAAGUGUUCACGAAUAUGGUAAUCGAUAUUGCAAGGGGAGUAAGUCACUAUUUCUUUAUUUUGAAGAUGGUUCUGUCACGUUAUAAGCAAUUCUGUUCCUUACUCGUUUGGAAUUUCAGGAACGUUUGGAUUGUAUCAAGGUGCAUGUAACCAUGAAGAAUUGCAUAAUUUGAUGAAGGCAACAGUGAUGAUUCGCAGACUAAAAAAUGAUGUUCUUUCUGAGCUUCCUGUGAAGCGUAGGCAACAGGUCCAUGCUUUGUCCAAUCUGUGUUUUGACCUGUGGGAUGGCCUUAGUAGUCCUGUUACAAUCGGUGAUCUUUAUCUUUCUUUCAUUCCAUCCCUGCCCGAUCUCAGGUCUUUUUGGAUUUGGCUGAAAAGGACAUGAAACAAAUCAAUGCUUUAUUCCGGGAGGUAAUCUAAGUCUUUUUAAUGAAGUUGAUAAGUUGAGAAUAAGUAGCUAUUGCCCUUGGAGUUCCAACUAGCUGAAGUCUAGUCAUGUGCUGUUUUGCUGUUAUCUUAUAUGAACCCUUUUAAUUUCCUUUUUCCCUAUCUUUAAUUAGUUGUAUGAUUUCUUGGCUGUGGCACCGUGUGCAAAAACAUAUUAUUAAUGUGCCGUGUAAAGUUUACUUUGUUCUCAAGCGUAAGGAAAAUUAUAAUAGAGCAUAGCUGCUGUUUAUCUCCUUUUUGUAGUUGGAAGUGGUAAAAGGGAAAAUUAAGGCCUGCCAAUCCAAAGAAGAGGUUGAUUCACUUAAGUUUACUGAGAGAAUCUUAUUAAUAAAGGUAUUCAUGCAUUACGCACGCAAUGUAGUGCACAUGGGCCCAACGUAGUUCCUUUCUUAUACUGAAGAUGCUGAAAUGGUCACACCAUUUCCUCUUGUAGUUUUUCUUUUACAAUUGAGUAGCUAACUUUGAACCCUUUAACCACCUCAUUUGUGCUCCAGAUUUAUACUGAUUCUGCUGAGGCUAAGAUCCCUGCAGUUUUGGAUUACCUGGGAACUGUCAUUGAGGUACCUCACCCUAUGUUAUAUCCUUCUCUCUGUCUUUUAGUUCUAUUUCUCUAAGGUGAUUUUGUUUCCUUAUCAUUAGUUUAGUCUGCACGUUUUCCUUUUCAGAGUUUAAAAUGUUGUUAUACAAUGGUUCUUGCAGGCAGGCUGCAAGUUUCUAGUAUUUGCACACCAUCAGUCCAUGAUUGAUUCGAUAUAUCAGUUUCUUCUGGUAAGGCCACAUGAAUUCAUAAUUUCCUCUAAGAUUGACCAAUUUUCUUAUAAGAACUGCCAAUUUCCAGAAAAAGAAAGUGGGUUGCAUUCGAAUUGAUGGAAGUAUCCCUACUGUUGCGAGGCAAGCUUAUGUUACAGAAUUUCAAGAAAAAGAUUCUAUCAAGGCAGCAGUGGUAUGGCAGUAUGCUUCUUUUAUAUACUUUGUUUUCUGUGUAACCAACCUAAUUGAGUUCUGUGUAAUUGGAAUUGUCAAAAAAACGAAAAACUGAAAAUUUUGAGUGCUACAUCUCAGGUGUUGUUCUGUGAUUUAAGUCUAAUAUUCAACCUUUGAAUGUCAUCGUGCAGCUAUCUAUUAAAGCUGGAGGCGUUGGAUUAACUUUGACAGCUGCAAGCACUGUUAUUUUUGCAGAAUUGUCAUGGACUCCUGGCGACCUAAUUCAAGCUGAAGAUCGUGCUCAUAGAAUAGGCCAGGUAAAAGUUCAUGAUUCUGAAGCAUUCUUUGCAUUAAUUAUAAGCUACUCUAAUAUUUGUUUAUACACAACCAGCAAAAAUUGAUGCAUUCCUUCAUUCCUUGAUAUGUUUCUAACUUUCUGUUCAUGUUUUUAGGUGGCUUCGGUCAAUAUAUAUUACCUUCUGGCAAACGAUACAGUUGAUGACAUCAUAUGGUAUGAUUUUACGCAGUUGUCUACUUUCUAAUUAGUUUGAUGAUUUUUGUACUUCCAACACUUUCUCUCUAUCUUUAGGGAUGUUGUUCAGAGCAAGUUGGAAAAUCUGGGACAGGUAAAGUUCAAUCCCCUUAGCAUUCCUUCUUAGGGGAAAAAGGGGGAAAAAAAACCUUUUUUGUUUUAACAGUAGAAUGAACUCUGGUUUUUGGACAAUCAGAUGCUCGAUGGCCAGGAGAAUACUAUGGAAGUUGCAGCCAGCCAGACCCGAAUCACCCCUGCAAGCCAGCCGCGAAGCAGCCCUGCAAAGCAAAAACUUGCAUUCAGCCAACCGGGAAGCAGUCCAUCAAAGCAGAAAACACUCGACUCUUACAUGAAGCGUUGCAACAGCAGGGAAGACCCCAAAAGUCAGCCUAAGUUCAAAACCCAAAGGCCCUGAAUGAAGGCUAUGCUGUACAAAAUGUUAAUUUUGCCUGUUUGAAAUGCGUUGAAAGCACAAUAUCGAAGCCAAACUAGUAAUGUGAAGGGUUCUCUUCCCGUUCGAGGUUCAUCCUUUAACUCACCUGUGUAAGAUGUCUGGAAAGAGGUUUUGCCAAGUUGUCUGCAACUGCAACAAAGAGCGUUGAAGAAUUAUAUCGAAAGUUCCGACUGGGAUUUUCCUAUGUUCACUUAUUGUUUGCACGCGCUACUAUAUAUUGAAGAUCCUAACUGGUUCUGGGCUUGUUUCGGUUAAUGUAAUGUGUAGGAGUAGUUCUGUUUACACCCAAUGCAUACAAGCUUGUUUCUGCAUGUUUACAAUCCAGAUUUGCACGUUUUGGUAGCAUAACUUGUUUCGGCCAUCGAGACCAAUUGGAUCCUUAUUUUGUUAGGCCAUUGGCGUCGCCUUAAGCCUCGAUUCAUCCGGUACAUGGUACACACCGUAGCAAACUAGUAUUUUUAACGAAAGGAACUCAAAGAAAAUUGAAGCAUGUGCACACAAGGGAAGAGGAUACCGUGAAUGGUGGUUUUUUCAGAAAAGAAAGUAUUCAGCACUUGCUCAGUUUAACAAUGGCUACAACCGAGUGUCUAAAACAAACACCGUUGUUCGAAAAAGAAAAAGACGAGAAAAUAACGUUCGCAUACUAAUUGUAUACUGCAAGUGUUGUAUUAACUACAGACCGUACGCCAUGGAAUAAACAAUUUUUGAGUGAUUUUAAAAAUUCAUCCCUCAAGGCAGAUAGGGAUAUAAAAUUAAACAGCGUAAUUUGAAGAGUUGUCUAGUAACUCCUGCCCCAGUAGGUU